This 48656-nucleotide long non-coding RNA is filed under the name Triticum aestivum (bread wheat). Its description in RNAcentral is "long non-coding RNA (TAES_LNC005708)". Lineage: Eukaryota; Viridiplantae; Streptophyta; Magnoliopsida; Poales; Poaceae. The record is from RNAcentral.
UUGGCCUUGUCCUUUCGGAUGAGCUUGCCACCAUUGUCUUCCCUCUUCUCAUAAGGACAUUCCGCAACAAAGUGGCUCACAUUUCCAUAAUUAUAGCACGUCCUCACUCGUUGCUUGACCUUCGCGCCACUUGAGUGGUUUUUGUUGAAGUUGGGCCUUGUGUUCUUCUUGCUCCAAAAUUGCCUUGAAGCAAGAGCCAUGUGUUCAUGAUAGGCAUACUUUGUAUCUUCGGGGUUGCUCUCCUCUUCUUCCUCUUCGUCCUCUUCUUCCACACUAACCUUAGCCUUCAAUGCAAGGUUGGGCUUCUUUGCUCUUUGAGAACGUAACACCGCAUUGUCGGCGGUCUUGUCCAAGAUGCUCAUAGCGACAAACUCAUCCAACACUUCACUUGAGGACAAGGUGUGGAAGUCCGGCCUUCGACGAAUGACGGAGGACAUUGCCUUGUGAUAAGGCAUCAUGGCCUUGAGGAAUUUGCGCUUGAUCCAAUUGUCAUCAGUAUCCUUGCUCCCAUGAUCUCGGAGUGAGACCGCAAGUUUGAUUAAUCUCCAAUAAAGCUCACGUGGUUCUUCAUCUUCUUUCAUGGCAAACUUAUUGGCUUCAUCUUGCACCACUUCAUAGUUGGAGCAUUGAAUGCUUGUGCUUCCCCUGUAAAGGGAAACAACAUGGUGCCAUGCAUCCUUGGCCAUGGUGAAGGGACGGAGAUGAGCAAGAUCUUCGGGCGAAAUUGCACCUUGGAUGAUGAAGAGAGCAUUCUCAUUGAAUUGAUUAUCCACGGCUUCUCUAGGGGUGAAGUUGCUUCGGUCAUGCGGAUAGAAACCUUCUUCAAUGAUUCUUCAAAGAUUAGUAUUCACAUGAUUUAAAUGAUGCUUAAAGUGAUAAACCCAAGAAUCAAAGUCCUCAUUUUUCACAAUCUUAGGGGGAGGACCGGCAUGAUUCAAAUGAGUGGAGGGAAUCGGUCCACCAUAAGUAAGCGGAAGUUCCACAUGGGCAAAGAUGUCGUUGCCAAUUUUACCACUAGAAGAAGGAUCCUUUUCACUAGCAGCUUCCCCCUUGUCAGAGUUAGCAUCCGUCACCUUGUUAGUGGGAUCACCCACUUUCAUUGGUGUGGUGGAUAGUUUAAGCCCUUCUAUGAAUUUGUUAAACAUGCUUUCAACCUCGGUCGUCAUGGAGGUUUUCAAUGUGUCCAAAGCUACAUUGAAUUCCUCAAGAGAGAUCAUGGUUCCCCCAUCGGCCGUAGACGAGAUUGGAUUCACACCGGAGUGCUGCUCCACACCAUCUACGGUGUCAACCAUACUCUUUGGACGACAAAGUCCUUAAUAAAGAGACGAGGCUCUAAUACCAACUGACAGGAUCGAUAUAGUUGACUAGAAGGGGGGGUGAAUAGGCAACUAACAAUUUUUAGCUUUUCUUUACCAAUUUGAACUUUGCAUCAAAGUAGGUUGUCUAGAUAUGCAACUAGGUGAGCAACCUAUAUGAUGCAACAACAAUAACAACAAGCAAGCAAGGGAUAUGACACAAAUAAGCUUGCACAAGUAAAGGUACAAGAUAACCAAGAGUGGAGCCGGCGAAGACAAGGAUGUUGCUACCUCUUGAGAACUUGCGUUGGUUUUUCCUUGAAGAGGAAAGGGUGACGCAACAGAGUAGCGUAAGUAUUUCCCUUAGUUUUUGAGAACCAAGGUAUCAAUGCAGUAGUAGGCCACACACGAGUCCCUCGUACCUACACAAACAAAUAAAUCCUCGCAACCAACGUGAUAAUUGUUGGAAAUAUGCCCUAGAGGCAAUAAUAAAUUAGUUAUUAUUAUAUUAUAUUUCAUUUUUCAUGAUAAUCGUUUAUUAUCCAUGCUAGAAUUGUAUUGAUAGGAAACUCAGAUACAUGUGUGGAUACAUAGACAACACCAUGUCCCUAGUAAGCCUCUAGUUGACUAGCUCGUUGAUCAAUAGAUGGUUACGGUUUCCUGACCAUGGGCAUUGGAUGUCAUUGAUAACGGGAUCACAUCAUUAGGAGAAUGAUGUGAUGGACAAGACCCAAUCCUAAGCCUAGCACAAGAUCAUGUAGUUCGUUUGCUAAAGCUUUUCUAAUGUCAAGUAUCAUUUCCUUAGACCAUGAGAUUGCGCAACUCCCGGAUACCGUAGGAGUGCUUUGGGUGUGCCAAAUGUCACAACGUAACUGGGUGGCUAUAAAGGUACACUACAGGUAUCUUCGAAAGUGACUGUUGGGUUGGCACGAAUCGAGACUGGGAUUUGUCACUCCGUGUAAACGGAGAGGUAUCUCUGGGCCCACUCGGUAGGACAUCAUCAUAAUGUGCACAAUGUGACCAAGGAGUUGAUCACGGGAUGAUGUGUUACAGAACGAGUAAAGAGACUUGCCGGUAACGAGAUUGAACAAGGUAACGGGAUACCGACGAUCGAAUCUCGGGCAAGUACAGUACCGAUGGACAAAGGGAAUUGUAUACGGGAUUGAUUAAAUCCUUGACAUCGUGGUUCAUCCGAUGAGAUCAUCAUGGAGCAUGUGGGAGCCAACAUGGGUAUCCAGAUCCCGCUGUUGGUUAUUGACCAGAGAGUUGUCUCGGCCAUGUCUGCAUGACUCCCGAACCCGUAGGGUCUACACACUUAAGGUUCGAUGACGCUAGGGUUAUAGGGAAAGUAUGUACGCGGUUACCGAAUGUUUUUCGGAGUCCCGGAUGAGAUCCCGGACGUCACGAGGAGUUCCGGAAUGGUCCGGAGGUAAAGAUUGAUAUAUAGGAAGUAUGGUUUUGGCCACCGGAAGUGUUCCGGGCAUCACCGGUAGUGUACCGGGACCACCGGAGGGGUCCGGGGGUCCACCGGGAGGGGCCACGGGCCCCGGAGGCAUACAUGGGCCAAGUGUGAGAAGGGACCAGCCCCUAGGUGGGCUGGGGAGCCUCCCCACCAAGGCCCAUGUGCCUAGGGAGAAGAGGGGGCAAACCCUAAGGGCAGAUGGGCCCUAAGGCCCAUGCCUGGUGCGCCUCCCUCUCCCCCCCACUUGGCCGCCACCCCAGAUGGGGAUUGGAGCUGCCGCCACCCCUAGGGUGGAAACCCUAGGUGGGGGUGCAGCCCUCCCUCUCCCCCUAUAUAUAGUGGAGGCAAAGGGGCAGCCCAACACAUGAAGUUCCUCCCCUGUUGGCGCAGCCCUACCCCUCUCCCUCCUCGUCUCUCGUAGUGCUUUGCGAAGCCCUGCUGGAGUCCCGCGCUCCUCCACCACCACCACGCCGUCGUGCUGCUGCUGGAUGGAGUCUUCCCCAACCUCUCCUUCUCCCCUUGCUGGAUCAAGGCAUAGGAGACGUCACCGGGUUGUACGUGUGUUGAACGUGGAGGUGCCGUCCGUUCGGCACUAGGAUCAUCGGUGAUUUGGAUCACGACGAGUACGACUCCAUCAACCCCGUUCACUUGAAUGUUUCUGCUUAGCAAUCUACAAGGGUAUGUAGAUGCACUCUCCUUCCCCUCGUUGCUAGAUUACUCCAUAGAUUGAUCUUGGUGAUGCGUAGAAAAUUUUAAAUUUCUGCUACGUUCCCCAACAGUGGCAUCAUGAGCUAGGUCUAUGCGUAGUUUCUAUGCACGAGUAGAACACAAAACAGUUGUGGGCGUCGAUAUUGUCAAUUUACUUGCCGUUACUAGUCUUAUCUUGAUUCGGCGGCAUCGUGGGAUGAAGCGGCCCAGACCGACCUUACACGUACUCUUACGUGAGACUGGUUCCACCGACUGACAUGCACUAGUUGCAUAAGGUGGCUAGCGGGUGUCUGUCUCUCCCACUUUAGUCGGAUCGGAUUCGAUGAAAAGGGUCCUUAUGAAGGGUAAAUAGAAGUUGGCAUAUCACGUUGUGGUUUUCGCGUAGGUAAGAAACGUUCUUGAUAGAAACCUAUAGCAGCCACGUAAAAACUUGCAACAACAAUUAGAGGACGUCUAACUUGUUUUUGCAGCAUAUGCCGUGUGAUGUGAUAUGGCCAAAAGGAUGUGAUGAAUGAUAUAUGUGAUGUAUGAGAUUCAUCAUGUUCUUGUAAUAGGAAUCACGACUUGCAUGUCGAUGAGUAUGACAACCGGCAGGAGCCAUAGGAGUUGUCUUAAUUUAUUUAUGACAUGCGUGUCAACAUAAACGUCAUGUAAUUACUUUACUUUAUUGCUAAAGCAUUAGCCAUAGUAGUAGAAGUAAUAGAUGACGAGACAACUUCAAGAAGACACGAUGAUGGAGAUCAUGAUGAUGGAGAUCAUGGUGUCAUGCCGGUGACAAUGAUGAUCAUGGAGCCCCGAAGAUGGAGAUCAAAAGGAGCAAAAUGAUAUUGGCCAUAUCAUGUCACUAUUUGAUUACAUGUGAUGUUUAUCAUGUUUUACAUCUUAUUUGCUUAGAACGACGGUAGCUUAAAUAAGAUGAUCCCUCACUAAAAUUUCAAGAAAAGUGUUCCCCCUAACUGUCCACCGUUGCGAAGGUUCGUCGUUUCGAAGCACCACGCGAUGAUCGGGUGUGAUAGAUUCUAACGUUCGAAUACAACGGGUGUAAGCCAGAUUUACACACGCAAUACAGUUAGGUUGACUUGACGAGCCUAGCAUGUACAGACAUGGCCUCGGAACACGGAAGACCAAAAGGUCAAGCAUGAGUCGUAUAGAAGAUACGAUCAACAUGAAGAUGUUCACCGAUGUUGACUAGUCCGUCUCACGUGAUGAUCGGACAUGGCCUAGUUGACUCGGAUCAUGUUUCACUUAGAUGACUAGAGAGAUGUCUAUCUGAGUGGGAGUUCAUUAAAUAAUUUGAUUAGAUGAACUCAAUUAUCAUGAACAUAGUCUAAAUUGUCUUUGCAAAUAUGUUGUAGAUAAAUAGCUCAUGUUGUAGCUCCUUGUUUCAAUACGUUCCUAGAGAAAGAUUAAGUUGAAAGAUAUUGUAAGCAAUGAUGCGGACUAGGUCCGUAGUCCGAGGAGUGUCCUCACUGCUACACAGAAGGCUUAUGUCUUUGAUGCACCGCUCGAUGUGCAAACCCCUACAACGUCGUCUGUGGAUGUUGUGAACACCUGACAGACACGUCCUGAUGACUACUUGAUAGUUUAGUGCACCAUACUUUGCGGCUUAGAAUCGGGAUUCCAAUGACGUUUUAAAGCCAUAGAACAUAUGAGAUGUUCCAAGAGCUGAAAUUGGGAUUUCAGGCUCAUGCCCGUGUUGAGAGGUGUGAGACCUCUGACAAGUUCUUUAGCCAACAAGAUGGAGGAGAAUAGCUCAACUAGUGAGCAUGUGCUCAGAAUGUCUAGAUGCUACAAUCACUUAAAUCAAGUGGGAGUUAAACUUCCAGAUAAGAUAGUGAUUGAUAGAGUUCUCUAGCCACUAUCACUAAGCUACUAGAUCUUCGUGAUGAACUAUGACAUGCAAGGGAUGGAGUUGAUCCCGGAGCUGUUCGCAGUGCUUAAGACCACAAAAGGUAGAAAUUAAGAAGGAGCAUCAAGUGUUUAUGGUUUAACAAGACCACUAGUUUCAAGAAGGGCAAGGGCUAGAAGGGAAACUUCAUGGAUGGCAAACCAGUUGCCGCUCCAGUGAAGGAACCCAAGGUUGAACCCAAACCCGAGACUAGGUGCUUCUAUUGUAAGGGGAACGGUCACUGGUAGCGGAAUUUCCCCAAAUGCAUGGUAGAUAAGAAGGCUGGCAACUUCAACAAAGUAUAUACGUGUUAUUAAUGUGUACCUCACUAGUACUCCUGGCAGCACCUGGGUAUUGGAUACCGGUUCAGUUACUAUUAUUGGUGACUUGAAGCAAAAGCUACGGACUAAAUGGAGACUGGCUGAGGGCGAGGUGACGAUGUGUGUUGGAAGUGUUUCCAAAGUUGAUGAAAUCACCAUCGCACGCUCCAUCUGCCUUCGGGAUUAGUAUUGAACCUAGAUAAAUGUUAUCAGGUGUCUGCGUUGAGCAUGAAUAUGAUUAGAUCAUGUUCAUUGCAAUACGGUCAUUCAUUUAAGUUAGAGAAUAAUGGUUAUUCUGUUUACAUGAAUGAUACCUUUCAUGGUCAUGCACCCUAUGUGAAUGGUUCAUUGAAUCUCGGUCGUGGUGAUACACAUGUUCACGCCAAAAGAUGUAGAGUUAAUAAUGAUAGUACCACUUUCUUGUGGCACUGCCGCUUAGGUCAUAUUGGCGUAAGAUGCAUGAAGAAACUGAAGGAAAUAUGCCCUAGAGGCAAUAAUAAAGUUAUUAUUUAUUUCCUUAUAUCAUGAUAAAUGUUUAUUAUUCAUGCUAGAAUUGUAUUAACCGGAAACAUAAUACAUGUGUGAAUACAUAGACAAACAGAGUGUCACUAGUAUGCCUCUACUAGACUAGCUUGUUAAUCAAAGAUGGUUAUGUUUCCUAACCAUGGACAAAGAGUUGCUAUUUGAUUAACGGGAUCAUAUCAUUAGGUGAAUGAUCUGAUUGACAUGACCCAUUCCAUUAGCUUAGCACCCGAUCGUUUAGUAUGUUGCUAUUGUUUUCUUCAUCACUUAUACAUGUUCCUAUGACUAUGAGAUUAUGCAACUCCCGUUUGCCGGAGGAACACUUUGUGUGCUACCAAAUGUCACAACGUAACUGGGUGAUUAUAAAGGUGCUCUACAGGUGUCUCCAAAGGUACAUGUUGGGUUGGCGUAUUUCGAGAUUAGGAUUUGUCACUCCGAUUGUCGGAGAGGUAUCUCUGGGCCCUCUCGGCAAUACACAUCACAUAAGCCUUGCAAGCAUUGCAACUAAUGAGUUAGUUGUGAGAUGAUGUAUUACGGAACGAGUAAAGAGACUUGCCGGUAACGAGAUUGAACUAGGUAUUAAGAUACCGACGAUCGAAUCUCGGGCAAGUAACAUACCGAUGACAAAGGGAACAACGUAUGUUGUUAUGCGGUCUGACCGAUAAAGAUCUUCGUAGAAUAUGUAGGAGCCAAUAUGAGCAUCCAGGUUCCGCUAUUGGUUAUUGACCGGAGACGUGUCUCGGUCAUGUCUACAUUGUUCUCAAACCCGUAGGGUCCGCACGCUUAAGGUUUCGAUGACAGUUAUAUUAUGAAUUUAUGAGUUUUGAUGUACCGAAGGAGUUCGGAGUCCCGGAUAGGAUCGGGGACAUGACGAGGAGUCUCGAAAUGGUCGAGACAUAAAGAUUGAUAUAUUGGAAGCCUAUAUUUGGAUAUCAGAAGUGUUCCGGGUGAAAUCGGGAUUUUACAGGAGUACCGGGAGGUUACCGGACCCCCCCCCCCCCCCGGGGAGGNNNNNNNNNNNNNNNNNNNNNNNNNNNNNNNNNNNNNNNNNNNNNNNNNNNNNNNNNNNNNNNNNNNNNNNNNNNNNNNNNNNNNNNNNNNNNNNNNNNNNNNNNNNNNNNNNNNNNNNNNNNNNNNNNNNNNNNNNNNNNNNNNNNNNNNNNNNNNNNNNNNNNNNNNNNNNNNNNNNNNNNNNNNNNNNNNNNNNNNNNNNNNNNNNNNNNNNNNNNNNNNNNNNNNNNNNNNNNNNNNNNNNNNNNNNNNNNNNNNNNNNNNNNNNNNNNNNNNNNNNNNNNNNNNNAGAGGGGGGCGGCGCCCCCCCUUUUCUUCUCUCUCUUCUUUUCCCCCUCCCGAAUCCUAUUCCAACUAGGAAAGGAGGGGAAUCCUACUCCCGGAGGGAGUAGGACUCCUCCUGGCGCGCCCUCUCCUGGCCGGCCACACCCCCCCUUUGAUCCUUUAUAUACGGAGGCAGGGGGCACCCCUACGGACACAAGUUGAUCCACAUGAUCAUAUUCUUAGCCGUGUGCGGUGCCCCCUUCCACCAUAGUCCUCGAUAAUAUUGUAGCGGUGCUUAGGCGAAGCCCUGCGAUGGUAGUACAUCAAGAUCGUCACCACGCCGUCGUGCUGACGGAACUCUUCCCUGACACUUUGCUGGAUCGUAGUCCGGGGAUCGUCAUCGAGCUAAACGUGUGCUAGAACUCGGAGGUGUCGUAGUUUUGGUGCUUGAUCGGUCGGGCCGUGAAGACGUACGACUACAUCAACCACGUUGUGCUAAUGCUUCCGUUGUCGAUCUACAAGGGUACGUAGAUCACACUCUCCCCUCUCGUUGCUAUGCAUCACCAUGAUCUUGCGUGUGCGUAGGAAUUUUUUUGAAAUUACUACAUAACCCAACAGUGGCAUCCGAGCCUAGGUUUUAUGUGUUGAUGUUAUUUGCACGAGUAGAACACAAGUGAGUUGUGGGUGAUAUAAGUCAUACUGCUUACCAACAUGUCAUACUUUGGUUUGGCGGUAUUGUUGGACGAAGCGGCCCGGACCGACAUUACGCGUAUGCUUACGUGAGACCGGUUCUCCCGACGUGCUUUGCACAAAGGUGGCUAGCGGGUGACAGUUUCUCCAACUUUAGUUGAACCGAGUGUGGCUACGCCCGGUCCUUGCGAAGGUUAAAACAGCACCAACUUGACAAACUAUUGUUGUGGUUUUGAUGCGUAGGUAAGAUUGGUUCUUGCUUAAGCUCGUAGCAGCCACGUAAAACUUGCAACAACAAAGUAGAGGACGUCUAACUUGUUUUUGCGGGGCAUGUUGUGAUGUGAUAUGGUCAAGACAUGAUGCUAAAUUUUAUUGUAUGAGAUGAUCAUGUUUUGUAACCGAGUUAUCGGCAACUGGCAGGAGCCAUAUGGUUGUCGCUUUAUUGUAUGCAAUGCAAUCGCGCUGUAAUGCUUUACUUUAUCUCUAAGCGGUAGCGAUAGUCAUGGAAGCAUAAGAUUGGCGAGACGACAACGAUGCUACGAUGGAGAUCAAGGUGUCGCGCCAGUGACGAUGGUGAUCAUGACGGUGCUUCGAAGAUGGAGAUCACAAGCACAAGAUGAUGAUGGCCAUAUCAUAUCACUUAUAUUGAUUGCAUGUGAUGUUUAUCUUUUAUGCAUCUUAUCUUGCUUUGAUUGAUGGUAGCACUAUAAGAUGAUCUCUCACUAAUUAUCAAGAAGUGUUCUCCCUGAGUAUGCACCGUUGCGAAAGUUCUUCGUGCUGAGACACCACAUGAUGAUCGGGUGUGAUAGGCUCUACGUUCAAAUACAACGGGUGCAAAACAGUUGCACAUGCGGAAUACUCAGGUUAUACUUGACGAGCCAAGCAUAUACAGAUAUGGCCUCGGAACACGGAGACCGAAAGGUCGAGCAUGAAUCAUAUAGUAGAUAUGAUCAACAUAGUGAUGUUCACCAAUGAAACUACUCCAUCUCACGUGAUGAUCGGACAUGGUUUAGUUGAUUUGGAUCACGUAAUCACUUAGAGGAUUAGAGGGAUGUCUAUCUAAGUGGGAGUUCUUUAAGUAAUAUGAUUAAUUGAACCUAAAUUUAUCAUGAACUUAGUACCUGAUAGUAUCCUGCUUAUUCAUGUUUAAUUGUAGAUAGAUGGCCCGUGCUGUUGUUCCGUUGAAUUUUAAUGCGUUCCUUGAGAAAGCAAAGUUUAAAGAUGAUGGUAGCAAUUACACGGACUAGGUCCGUAACUUGAGGAUUAUCCUCAUUGCUGCACAGAAGAAUUACGUCCUGGAAGCACCGCUGGGUGCCAGGCCUGCUGCUGGAGCAACACCAGAUGUUAUGAACGUCUGGCAGAGCAAAGCUGAUGACUACUCGAUAGUUCAGUGUGCCAUGCUUUACGGCUUAGAAUCGGGACUUCAACGAUGUUUUGAACGUCACGGAGCAUAUGAGAUGUUCCAGGAGUUGAAGUUAAUAUUUCAAGCAAAUGCCCGAACUGAGAGAUAUGAAGUCUCCAAUAAAUUCUAUAGCUGCAAGAUGGAGGAGAACAGUUCUGUCAGUGAGCAUAUACUCAAAAUGUCUGGGUAUAAUAAUCACUUGAUUCAAUUGGGAGUUAAUCUUCCAGAUGAUUGCGUCAUUGACAGAAUUCUCCAAUCACUGCCACCAAGCUACAAGAGCUUCGUGAUGAACUAUAAUAUGCAAGGGAUGAAUAAGACUAUUCCCGAGCUCUUCGCAAUGCUGAAAGUUGCGGAGGUAGAAAUCAAGAAGGAGCAUCAAGUGUUGAUGGUCAACAAGACCACUAGUUUCAAGAAAAAGGGCAAAGGGAAGAAGAAGGGGAACUUCAAAAAGAACAGCAAGCAAGUUGCUUCUCAAGAGAAGAAACCCAAACCUGGACCUAAGCCUGAAACUGAGUGCUUCUACUGCAAGCAGACUGGUCACUGGAAGCGGAACUGCCUCAAGUAUUUGGCGGAUAAGAAGGAUGGCAAGGUGAACAAAGGUAUAUGUGAUAUACAUGUUAUUGAUGUGUACCUUACUAAUGCUUGCUGUAGCACCUAGGUAUUUGAUACUGGUUCUGUUGCUAAUAUUUGCAACUCAAAACAGGGACUACAGAUUAAGCGAAGAUUGGCUAAGGACGAGGUGACGAUGCACGUGGGAAAUGGUUCCAAAGUCGAUAUGAUCGCAGUCGGCACGCUACCUCUACAUCUACCUUCGGGAUUAAUAUUAGACCUAAAUAAUUGUUAUUUGGUGCCAGCGUUAAGCAUGAACAUUAUAUCUGGAUCUUGUUUGAUGCGAGACGGUUAUUCAUUUAAAUAAGAGAAUAAUGGUUGUUCUAUUUACAUGAGUAAUAUCUUUUAUGGUCAUGCACCCUUAAAGAGUGGUCUAUUCUUAUUAAAUCUCGAUAGUAGUGACACACAUAUUCAUAGUGUUGAAACCAAAAGAUGCAGAGUUGAUAAUGAUAGUGCAACUUAUUUGUGGCACUGCCGUUUAGGUCAUAUCGGUAUAAAGCGCAUGAAGAAACUCCAUACUGAUGGGCUUUUGGAACCACUUGAUUAUGAAUCACUUGGUACUUGCGAACCGUGCCUUAUGGGUAAGAUGACAAAAACACCAUUCUCCGGUACUAUGGAGAGAGCAACAGAUUUGUUAGAAAUCAUACAUGCAGAUGUAUGUGGUCCGAUGAAUGUUGAGGCUCGUGGCGGAUAUCGUUAUUUUCUCACCUUCACAGAUGACUUAAGCAGAUAUGGGUAUAUCUACUUAAUGAAACACAAGUCUGAAACGUUUGAAAAGUUCAAAGAAUUUCAGAGUGAAGUUGAAAAUCAUCAUAACAAGAAAAUAAAAUUCCUACGAUCUGAUCGUGGAGGAGAAUAUUUGAGUUACGAGUUUGGUGUACAUUUGAAACAAUGUGGAAUAGUUUCGCAACUCACGCCACCCGAAACACCACAGCGUAAUGUUGUGUCCGAACGUCGUAAUCGUACUUUACUAGAUAUGGUACGAUCUAUGAUGUCUCUUACUGAUUUACCGCUAUCGUUUUGGGGAUACGCUCUAGAGACGACCGCAUUCACGUUAAAUAGGGCACCAUCAAAAUCCGUUGAGACAACGCCUUAUGAACUGUGGUUUGGCAAGAAACCAAAGUUGUCGUUUCUGAAAGUUUGGGGCUGCGAUGCUUAUGUGAAAAAGCUUCAACCUGAUAAGCUCGAACCCAAAUCGGAAAAAUGUGUCUUCAUAGGAUAUCCAAAGGAAACUAUUGGAUACACCUUCUAUCACAGAUCCGAAGGCAAGACUUUUGUUGCAAAAUUCGGAAACUUUCUGGAGAAGGAGUUUCUCUCGAAAGAAGUGAGUGGGAGGAAAGUAGAACUUGACAAGGUAACUGUACCUACUCCCUUAUUGGAAAGUAGUACAUCACAGAAACAUGUUUCUGUGACACCUACACCAAUUAGUGAGGAAGCUAAUGAUAAUGAUCAUGAAACUUCUGAACAAGAUACUACUGAACCUCGUAGAUCAACCAGAGUGAGAUCCGCGCCAGAGUGGUACGGUAAUCCUGUUCUGGAAGUCAUGCUACUAGAUCAUGAUGAACCUACGAACUAUGAAGAAGCGAUGGUGAGCCCAGAUUCCGCAAAAUGGCUUGAAGCCAUGAAAUCUGAGAUGGGAUCCAUGUAUGAGAACAAAGUAUGGACUUUGGUUGACUUGCCCAAUUAUCGGCAAGCAAUUGAGAAUAAAUGGAUCUUCAAGAAGAAGACGGAUACUGACGGUAAUAUUACUAUCUACAAAGCUCGACUUGUCGCAAAAGGUUUUCGGCAAGUUCAAGGGAUUGACUAUGAUGAGACCUUCUCACCCGUAGCGAUGCUUAAGUCUGUCCGAAUCAUGUUAGCAAUUGCCGCAUUUUAUGAUUAUGAAAUUUGGUAGAUGGAUGUCAAAACGGCAUUCCUGAAUGGAUUUCUGGAAGAAGAGUUGUAUAUGAUGCAACCAGAAGGUUUUGUCGAUCCAAAGGGAGCUAACAAAGUGUGCAAGCUCCAGCGAUCCAUUUAUGGACUGGUGCAAGCCUCUCGGAGUUGGAAUAAACGCUUUGAUAGUGUGAUCAAAGCAUUUGGUUUUGUACAGACUUUUGGAGAAGCCUGUAUUUACAAGAAAGUGAGUGGGAGCUCUGUAGCAUUUCUGAUAUUAUAUGUGGAUGACAUAUUACUAAUUGGAAAUGAUAUAGAAUUUCUGGAUAGCAUAAAGGGAUACUUGAAUAAGAGUUUUUCAAUGAAAGACCUCGGUGAAGCUGCUUACAUAUUAGGCAUUAAGAUCUAUAGAGAUAGAUCAAGACGCUUAAUUGGACUUUCACAAAGCACAUACCUUGACAAAGUUUUGAAGAAGUUCAAAAUGGAUCAAGCAAAGAAAGGGUUCUUGCCUGUGUUACAAGGUGUGAAGUUGAGUCAGACUCAAUGCCCGACCACUGCAGAAGAUAGAGAGAAAAUGAAAGAUGUUCCCUAUGCUUUAGCCAUAGGCUCUACCAUGUAUGCAAUGUUGUGUACCAGACAUGAUGUGUGCCUUGCUAUAAGUCUAGCAGGGAGGUACCAAAGUAAUCCAGGAGUGGAUCACUGGACAGCGGUCAAGAACAUCCUGAAAUACCUGAAAAGGACUAAGGAUAUGUUUCUCGUUUAUGGAGGUGACAAAGAGCUAAUCGUAAAUGGUUACAUCGAUGCGAGCUUUGACACUGAUCUGGACGAUUCUAAAUCGCAAACUGGAUACGUAUUUACAUUAAAUGGUGGAGCUGUCAGUUGGUGCAGUUCUAAACAAAGCGUCAUGGCGGGAUCUACGUGUGAAGCAGAAUACAUAGCUGCUUCAGAAGCAGCAAAUGAAGGAGUCUGGAUGAAGGAGUUCAUAUCCGAUCUAGGUGUCAUACCUAGUGCAUCGGGUCCAGUGAAAAUCUUUUGUGACAAUACUGGUGCAAUUGCCUUGGCAAAGGAAUCCAGAUUUCACAAGAGAACCAAGCACAUCAAGAGAUGCUUCAAUUCCAUCCGGGAUCUAGUCCAGGUGGGAGACAUAGAGAUUUGCAAGAUACAUACAGAUCUGAAUGUAGCAGACCCGUUGACUAAGCCUCUUCCACGAGCAAAACAUGAUCAGCACCAAGGCUCCAUGGGUGUUAGAAUCAUUACUAUAUAAUCUAGAUUAUUGACUCUAGUGCAAGUGGGAGACUGAAGGAAAUAUGCCCUAGAGGCAAUAAUAAAGUUAUUGUUUAUUUCCUUAUAUCAUGAUAAAUGUUUAUUAUUCAUGCUAGAAUUGUAUUAACCGGAAACAUAAUACAUGUGUGAAUACAUAGACAAACAGAGUGUCACUAGUAUGCCUCUACUAGACUAGCUCAUUAAUCAAAGAUGGUUAUGUUUCCUAACCAUGGACAAAGAGUUGUUAUUUGAUUAACGGGAUCACAUCAUUAGGUGAAUGAUCUGAUUGACAUGACCCAUUCCAUUAGCUUAGCACCCGAUCGUUUAGUAUGUUGCUAUUGCUUUCUUCAUGACUUGUACAUGUUCCUAUGACUAUGAGAUUAUGCAACUCCCAUUUGCCGGAGGAACACUUUGUGUGCUACCAAACGUCACAACGUAACUAGGUGAUUAUAAAGGUGCUCUACAGGUGUCUCCAAAGGUACAUGUUGGGUUGGCGUAUUUCGAGAUUAGGAUUUGUCACUCCGAUUGUCGGAGAGGUAUCUCUGGGCCCUCUCGGUAAUACACAUCACAUAAGCCUUGCAAGCAUUGCAACUAAUGAGUUAGUUGUGAGAUGAUGUAUUACGGAACGAGUAAAGAGACUUGCCGGUAACGAGAUUGAACUAGGUAUUAAGAUACCGACGAUCGAAUCUCGGGCAAGUAACAUACCGAUGACAAAGGGAACAACGUAUGUUGUUAUGCGGUCUGACCGAUAAAGAUCUUCGUAGAAUAUGUAGGAGCCAAUAUGAGCAUCCAGGUUCCGCUAUUGGUUAUUGACCGGAGACAUGUCUCGGUCAUGUCUACAUUGUUCUCGAACCCGUAGGGUCCGCACGCUUAAGGUUUCGAUGACAGUUAUAUUAUGAGUAUAUGAGUUUUGAUGUACCGAAGGAGUUCAGAGUCCCGAAUAGGAUCGGGGACAUGACGAGGAGUCUCGAAAUGGUCGAGACAUAAAGAUUGAUAUAUUGGAAGCCUAUAUUUGGAUAUCGGAAGUGUUCCGGGUGAAAUAGGGAUUUUACCGGAGUACCGGGAGGUUACCGGAACCCCCCCGGGAGGUAUAUGGGCCUUAGUGGAAGAGAGGAGAGGUGGCCAGGGCUGGGCCGCGCACCCCUCCCCCCCCUAGUCCGAAUAGGACAAGGAGAGGGGGCGGUGCCCCCCUUUUCUUCUCUCUCUUCUUUUCCCCCUCCCGAAUCCUAUUCCAACUAGGAAAGGGGGGGAAUCCUACUCCCGGAGGGAGUAGGACUCCUCCUGGCGCGCCCUCUCCUGGCCGGCCACACCCCCCCCCCUUGAUCCUUUAUAUACGGAGGCAGGGGGCACCCCUACAGACACAAGUUGAUCCACGUGAUCAUAUUCUUAGUCGUGUGCGGUGCCCCCUUCCACCAUAGUCCUCGAUAAUAUUGUAGCGGUGCUUAGGCGAAGCCCUGCGACGGUAGUACAUCAAGAUCGUCACCAUGCCGUCAUGCUGACAGAACUCUUCCCCGACACUUUGCUGGAUCGGAGUCCGGGGAUCGUCAUCGAGCUGAACGUGUGCUAGAACUCGGAGGUGCCGUAGUUUCGGUGCUUGAUCGGUCGGGCCGUGAAGACGUACGACUACAUCAAACACGUUGUGCUAACGCUUCUGUUGUCGAUCUACAAGGGUACGUAGAUCACACUCUCCCCUCUCGUUGCUAUGCAUCACCAUGAUCUUGCGUGUGUGUAGGAAUUUUUUCGAAAUUACUAUAUAACCCAACAGAAACUCCAUAUCGAUGGAUGUUUGGAGUCACUUGAUUUUGAAUCACUUGACACAUGUGAGCCAUGCCUCAUGGGCAGGAUGACUAAGACCCCGUUUUCGGGUACAAUGAAACGGGCAAGUGACUUGUUGGAAAUCAUGCAUGUUGAUGCGUGUGAUCCAAUGGGAAUUAAAGUGUGUGGUGGAUAUCGCUAUUUUCUCAUCUUCACUGACGAUUUGGGUAGAUAUAGGUAUAUCUACUUAAUGAAGCACAAGUCUGAAACGUUUGAAAAGUUCAAGUGAUUUCAGAGUGAAGUUAAGAAUCAUCAUAACAAGAAGAUCAAAUUCCUACGAUCUGAUCAAUGAGAAUAUCUGAGUUAUGAGUUUGGCAAACACUUAAGACAUUGUGGAAUUGUUUCACUGUUGAAGCCACCUGGAACACCACUGGGUUAUGGUGUGUCCGGACGUCGUAAUCGAACCUUAUGAGAUAUGGUGCGAUCUAUGAUGUCUCUUACCAAUCUACCGUUUUCAUUUUGAGGUUAUGCAUUAGAGACAGCUGCAUUCACUUUAGAUAGGACACCAUCUAAGUCCGUUGAGACGACGUCAUAAGAACAUUGGUUUGGCAAGAAACCAAAGUUGUCAUUUCUUAACGUUUGGGGAUGCGAUGGUCGGGGCUUCAGCCGGAGAAGCUCGAACCCAAAGCGGACAAACACAUCUUCAUAGGAUACCCAAGGGUGACAGUUGGGUAUACCUUCUAUCUCAGAUCCGAGGGCAAAUUGUUUGUCGCUAAGAACAGGUCCUUUCUCGAGAAGGAGUUUCUCUCGAAAGAAUUGAGUGGGAGGAAGAUAGAACUUGAUGAGGUUGUCGAACCUUUACUUCAACCAGAGAGUGAUGCAACAUAGAAAGAUGUUUUCUGUGGUGCCUACGUCUGUUGAAUAGGAAGUUAAUGAUAGUGAUCAUGAAGCUUCGGAUCAAGUUGCUAUCGAACCUCAUAGGUCGACAAGGAUAUGUACUACUCCUAAGUGGUAUGGUAAUCCUGUCUUAGAUAUCAUGUUGUUAGACAACAAUGAACCUACGAGCUAUGGAGAAGCGAUGGUGGGCCCAUAUUCCGACAAAUGGUUAGAAGCCAUGAAAUCCGAGAUAGGAUCCAUAUAUCAGAACAAAGUAUGGACUUUGGUGGACUUGCCCGUUGAUCGGCAAGCCAUUGAGAUAAAUGGAUCUUUAAGAAGAAGACGGACGUGGGAGGUAAUGUUACCGUCUAUGAAGCUCGACUUGUGGGAAAGAGUCUUUUCACAAGUUCAAGGAGUUGACUACGAUGAGAAUUUCUCACCCGUAGCGAUGCUUAAGUCCGUCGGAAUCAUGUUAGCAUUAGUUGUAUUUUUCGAUUAUGAAAUCUUACAUAUGGAUGUCAAAACAAGUAUUCUUACCAAGUUUUUGUAAGAAAAGUUGUAUGUGAUACAAUCAAAGUUUUGUUGAUCCUAAGGAUGCUAAAAGGUAUGCUGGCUCCAGCGAUCCUUCUAUGGACUAGAGCAAGCAUCUCGGAGUCAGAAUAUAUGCUUUGAUGGAGUGAUCAAAGCUUUUAGGUUUAUACAAUGUUUGCUAGAAACGUGUAUUUACAAGAAAGUGAGUGAGAGCACUACAACAUUUCUGAUAAGUAUAUGUGGAUGGCAUAUUGUUGAUUCGAAAUGAUGUAGAAUUUCUGGAAAGCAUAAACGGUUGUUUGAAGAGUGAUUUUCAAAGGAAGACCUAGAUAAAGCUGCUUACAUAUUGGGCAUCAGGAUCUAUAGAAAUAGAUCAAGACGCUUGAUGAUACUUUCAAAGAACGCACACCUUGACAUGUUUUUAAAGGAGUUCAAAAUAGAUCAGUCAAAGAAGGGGUUCUUGCCUGAGUUGUAAGGUGUGAAGUUGAGUAAGACUCAAAGCUUGACCACGGCAGAAGAAAGAGGAAGGACGAAGGUCGUCCCCUAUGCUUUUGUCAUAGGCUCUAUACGGUAUGCCAUGCUGAAGUACUGCACCUGAUGUGUACCUUGCCACAUGUCUGGCAAGAGGGUACAAAGGUGAUCUAGGAGUGGAUCGCCAGAUAGCGGUCAAAAUUAUCCUUAGAGGAAUAAGGAAAUGUUUCUCGGAUAUGGAGGUGGUGAAGAGUUCGAUGUAAAGAGUUACGUCGAUGCAAGCUUAACACCUAUCCGGAUAGCUCUGAGUAGAGAUACCGGAUAUGUAUAAUGGAGCAACAAUUUGGAAUAGCUCCAAGUGGAACGUGGUAGCAGCAUCUACGAUAUGACAUAAAGUUUUGCGAAAUACAUAGGGAUCUGAAUAUGGCAAGACCCGCUGACUACAACCUCUCUCACAAGCAUAACAUGAUCAAACCCAGAACUCUUUGAGUGUUUAUCACAUAGUGAUGUGAACUAGAUCAUUGAGUCUAGUAGACUCUUGGAUGUUGGUCACAUGGCGAUGUGACCUGUGAGUGUUAAUCACAUGGCGAUGUGAACUAGAUUAUUGACUCUAGUGCAAGUGGAAGACUAUUGGAAAUAUGCCCUAGAGGCAAUAAUAAAUUAGUUAUUAUUAUAUUAUAUUUCAUUGUUCAUGAUAAUCGUUUAUUAUCCAUGCUAGAAUUGUAUUGAUAGGAAACUUAGAUACAUGUGUGGAUACAUAGACAACACCAUGUCCCUAGUAAGCCUCUAGUUGACUAGCUCAUUGAUCAAUAGAUGGUUACGGUUUCCUGACCAUGGGCAUUGGAUGUCGUUGAUAACGGGAUCACAUCAUUAGGAGAAUGAUGUGAUGGACAACACCCAAUCCUAAGCCUAGCACAAGAUCGUGUAGUUCGUUUGCUAAAGCUUUUCUAAUGUUAAGUAUCAUUUCCUUAGACCAUGAGAUUGUGCAACUCCCGGAUACCAUAGGAGUGCUUUGGGUGUGCCAAACGUCACAACGUAACUGGGUGGCUAUAAAGGUACACUACAUGUAUCUCCGAAAGUGUCUGUUGGGUUGGCACGAAUCGAGACUGGGAUUUGUCACUCCGUGUAAAUGGAGAGGUAUCUCUGGGCCCACUCGGUAGGACAUCAUCAUAAUGUGCACAAUGUGACCAAGGAGUUGAUCACGGGAUGAUGUGUUACGGAACGAGUAAAGAGACUUGCCGGUAAUGAGAUUGAACAAGGUAUCGGGAUACCGACGAUCGAAUCUCGGGCAAGUACAGUACCGAUGGACAAAGGGAAUUGUAUACGGGAUUGAUUAAAUCCUUGACAUCGUGGUUCAUCUGAUGAGAUCAUCGUGGAGCAUGUGGGAGCCAACAUGGGUAUCCAGAUCCCGCUGUUGGUUAUUGACCAGAGAGUUGUCUCGGCCAUGUCUGCAUGACUCCCGAACCCGUAGGGUCUACACACUUAAGGUUCGAUGACGCUAGGGCUAUAGGGAAAGUAUGUACGCGGUUACCGAAUGUUGUUCGGAGUCCCGGAUGAGAUCCCGGACGUCACGAGGAGUUCCGGAAUGGUCCGGAGGUAAAGAUUGAUAUAUAGGAAGUAUGGUUUUGGCCACCGGAAGUGUUCCGGGCAUCACCGAUAGUGUACCGGGACCACCGGAGGGGUCCGGGGGUCCACCGGGAGGGGCCACGGGCCCCGGAGGCAUACAUGGGCCAAGUGUGAGAAGGGACCAGCCCCUAGGUGGGCUGGGGCGCCUCCCCACCAAGGCCCAUGCUUCUAGGGAGAAGAGGGGGCAAACCCUAAGGGCAGAUGGGCCCUAAGGCCCAUGCCUGGUGCGCCUCCCUCUCCCCCCACUUGGCCGCCACCCCAGAUGGGGAUUGGAGCUGCCGCCACCCCUAGGGUGGAAACCCUAGGUGGGGGCGCAGCCCUCCCUCUCCCCUUAUAUAUAGUGGAGGCAAAGGGGCAGCCCAACACAUGAAGUUCCUCCCCUGUUGGCGCAGCCCUACCCCUCUCCCUCCUCGUCUCUCGUAGUGCUUGGCGAAGCCCUGCUGGAGUCCCGCGCUCCUCCACCACCACCACGCCAUCGUGCUGCUGCUGGAUGGAGUCUUCCCCAACCUCUCCUUCUCCCCUUGCUGGAUCAAGGCGUAGGAGACGUCACCGGGCUGUACGUGUGUUGAACGCGGAGGUGCCGUCCGUUCGGCACUAGGAUCAUCGGUGAUUUGGAUCAUGACGAGUACGACUCCAUCAACCCCGUUCACUUGAACGCUUCCGCUUAGCGAUCUACAAGGGUAUGUAGAUGCACUCUCCUUCCCCUCGUUGCUAGAUUACUCCAUAGAUUGAUCUUGGUGAUGCGUAGAAAAUUUUAAAUUUUUGCUAUGUUCCCCAACAAUAAUGGGUUGUCAAUCCCUUCACGGUCACUUACAAGAGUGAGAUCUGAUAGAUAUGAUAAGAUAAUAUUUUUGGUAUUUUUAUGAUAAAGAUGCAAAAUAAAAUAAAAGGCAAAGGAAAUAACUAAGUAUUGGAAGAUUAAUAUGAUGGAAGAUAGACCCGGGGGCCAUAAGUUUCACUAGUGGCUUCUCUCGAGAGCAUAAGUAUUCACGACGGGUAAACAAAUUACUAUUGAGCAUUUGACAGAAUUGAGCAUAGUUAUGAGAAUAUCUAGGUAUGAUCAUGUAUAUAGGCAUCACGUCCGAGACAAGUAGACCGACUCCUACCUGCAUCUACUACUAUUACUCCACACAUCGACCGCUAUCCAACAUGCAUCUAGAGUAUUAAGUUCAAGAGAACAGAGUAACGCUUUAAGCAAGAUGACAUGAUGUAGAGGGAUAAACUCGUGUAAUAUGAAAUAAAACCCAUCUUGUUAUCCUCGAUGGUAACAAUACAAUACGUGCCUUGCUGUCCCUACUGUCACUAGGAAAGGACACCGCAAGAUUGAACCCAAAGCUAAGCAUUUCUCCCAUUGCAAGAAAGAUCAAUCUAGUAGGCCAAACCAAACUGAUAAUUCGAAGAGACUUGCAAAGAUAACCAAUCAUACAUAAAAGAAUUCAGAGAAGAUUCAAAUAUUGUUCAUAGAUAAACUUGAUCAUAAACCCACAAUUCAUCGGUCUCAACAAACACACCGCAAAAGAAGAUUACAUCGAAUAUAUCUCCACAAGAGAGGGGAGAACUUUGUAUUGAGAUCCAAAAAGAGAGAAGAAGCCAUCUAGCUAAUAACUAUGGACCUGUAGGUCUGAGGUAAACUACUCACACUUCAUCGGAAGGGCUAUGGUUGAUGUAGAAGCCCUCCGUGAUCGAUGCCCCCUCCAGCGGAGCUCCGGAAUAGGCCCCAAGAUGGGAUCUCGUGGAUACAGAAAGUUACGGCGGUGGAAUUAAGGUUUUGCCUCCGUAUCUAGUAGUUUGGGGGUACGUAGGUAUAUAUAGGAGGAAGGAGUACGUCGGUGGAGCAACAGGGGGCCCACGAGGGUGGAGGGCGUGCCCAGGGGGUAGGCGUGCCCCCUACCUCGUGGCCUCCUGGUUGAUGUCUUGACGUAGGGUCCAAGUCCUCUGGAUCAUGUUCGUUCCGAAAAUCACGUUCCCGAAGGUUUCAUUCUUUUUGGACUCCGUUUGAUAUUCUUUUUCUGCGAAACCCUAAAACAAGCAAAAAAAGACAGCAAUUCUAGGCUGGGCCUCCGGUUAAUAGGUUAGUCCCAAAAAUAAUAUAAAAGUGUAUAAUAAAGCCCAAUAAUGUCCAAAACAGAAUAUAAUAUAGCAUGGAACAAUCAAAAAUUAUAGAUACGUUGGAGACGUAUCAGAUGUGUCACUGAAGUUCCUUCCUUUUGAAGGGAAGUACGUCUCCGUUGGAGCGGUGUGGAGGCACAAUGCUCCCCAAGAAGCCACUAGGGCCACCGUAUUCUCCUCACGCCCUCACACAAUGCGAGAUGUCGUGAUUCCACUAUUGGUGCCCUUGAAGGCGGCGACCGGACCUUUACAAACAAGGUUGGGGCUCUCUCCACAACUAAAUUGGAGGCUCCCAACGAAACCAUGGAGCUUCACCACAAUGGAAUAUGGCUCUGAGGUGAACUCAACCAUCUAGGGUGCUCAAACACCCAAGAGUAACGAAAUCCACACGAGAAAGUGGUACGUCUCUAACGUAUCUAUAAUUUUUGAUUGCUCCAUGCUAUUAUAUUAUCUAUUUUGGAUAUUAAUGGGCUUAUUUUUACAAUUUUAUAUUAUUUUUGGGACUAACCUAUUAACCGGAGGCCCAGCCCAAAUUGUUGUUUUUUGCCUAGAAAAGGAAUAUCAAACGGCGUCCAAACAGAAUGAAACCUUCGGGAACGUGAUUUUUGGAACAAACGUGAUCCACGAGACUUGGAGUGGACGUCAAGAAUCAAUCGAGGAGGCCAUGAGGCAGGGAGCGCGUCCUCCACCCUCGUGGGCCCCUCGUUGCUCCACCGACAUACUUCUUCCUCCUAUAUAUAUCCAUAUACCCCGCAAACAUCCAGGAGCACCACGAAAACCUAAUUCCACCACCGCAACCUUCUGUACCCAAGAGAUCCCAUCUUGGGACCUUUUCCGGAGCUCUGCUGGAGGGGGUAUCGAUCAUGGAGGUCCUCUACAUCAACUCCAUGGCCCCUCUGAUGAUGUGUGAGUAGUUUACCUUAGACCUUCGGGUCCAUAGCUAGUAGCUAGAUGGCUUCUUCUCUCUCUUUGGAUCUCAAUACAAAGUUCUCCUCGAUUCUCUUGGAGAUCUAUUCGAUGUAAUCUUCUUUUGCGGUGUGUUUGUCGAGAUCCGGUGAAUUGUGGGUUUAUGAUCAAGUUUAUCUAUGAACAAUAUUUGAAUCUUCUCUGGAUUCUUUUAUGUAUGAUUGGUUUAUCUUUGCAAGUCUCUUCGAAUUAUCAGUUUGGUUUGGCCUACUAGAUUGAUAUUUCUUGCAAUGGGAGAAGUGCUUAGCUUUGGGUUCAAUCUUGCGGUGCUCGAUCCCAGUGACAGAAAGGGAACCGACACGUAUUGUAUUGUUGCCAUCGAGGAUAAAAAGAUGGGGUUUACAUCAUAUUGCAUGAGUUUAUCCCUCUACAUCAUGUCAUCUUGCUUAAGGCAUUACGCUGUUCUUAUGAGCUUAAUACUCUAGAUGCAUGCUGGAUAGCGGUCGAUGUGUGGAGUAAUAGUAGUAGAUGCAGAAUCGUUUCGGUCUACUUGUCACGGACGUGAUGCCUAUAUACAUGAUCAUGCCUAGAUAUUCUCAUAAUUAUUCGCUUUUCUAUCAAUUGCUCGACAGUAAUUUGUUCACCCACCGUAAUACUUAUGCUAUCUUGAGAGAAGCCACUAGUGAAACCUAUGGCCCCCGGGUCUAUUUUCCAUCAUACAAGUUUCCAAUCUAUUUUAUUUUGCAAUCUUUACUUUCAAUCUAUAUCAUAAAAAUACCAAAAAUAUUUAUCUUAUUAUUAUUAUUAUCUCUAUCAGAUCUCACUCUUGCAAGUGGCCGUGAAGGGAUUGACAACCCCUUUAUCGCGUUGGUUGCGAGGUUCUUAUUUGUUUGUGUAGGUACGAGGUGACUCGCGCGUAGUCUCCUACUGGAUUGAUACCUUUGUUCUCAAAAACUGAGAGAAAUACUUACGCUGCUUUAUUGCAUCACCCUUUCCUCUUCAAGGGAAAACCAAUGCAGUGUUCAAGAGGUAGCAGAAAGUAUGGGGGAAGCAAAUAUCCUUUGGUGGAAGUGUAGAUCUAGGUCUCCUCCUUCAAUCCCUAGCAAAUCAACAAGUUUGAGUGGCUAGAGAGAGAGAUCGGGCAAGAGAGCUUGAGUGGCAUUAAUGGUCGAGUGAGAGAGGUAAGAGGUAAAUGUGGUAGGUGGAAGAACCACCCUUAUAUAGCAACCCUAAAAAUCCAACCGUUACUGUGUUUUCUGUACUGCAGCGGUACAACCGGUCCUCGCCCCGGUACAACCGGGCCUCGCAGUUUACCAACUGAACCCUACCUGGCAGUACAACCGUGCGAGCAGGCAGUAUUACCAGUCAAAGAGAACAACCGGAAAAACCGCCCAGCCACCUCUUAACUACCGCAUUGAAACAGAAGGGAGUCACCCUAGAGUGCGAUAGUCAAGCAGUACACGACCGGUGCAACCGCCUGGCCAUGGGCGCUUGAGCGGCUAAGUCCCAAGCGGUAGAACCUCUCGGGGCACCGGUAGUACCAGUGUGCGGGGCACAACCGGACCAACCGGGCCACUACCGCCCAAGUACCGCAUCACAACAGAGGCAAGACCGGUUGUUGAGCGGUACUUUGUCGGAACAACCGCUGCAGUCAUUGAGGAGCAAGGUGGCAGUACCACCGCCCGGAGGCAGCGGUACAACCGCUCAAACAAGACUGGGUAAGCGCCAAAGUUCUAGCGGUACAACCGCUAGGAAGGCACAGCAAGAGGCGGGAGAGAAGGGAAGCUCUCUCUCUCUCUCUCUCUCUCAGCAAAAGGAAGGCAAGAGAGGGGUGAGGCAAGAGUGUACGUGAGAAAAAUCCCCAACACCUCCUAAUGUGGAUUCCCUCUUGAUAGUACGGGUUCCCUACGACCAAAGAGAUAAAAAACGUAGAAAACUCUGUCUUCGAUCUUUUCCUUCCAGAGAGAAUAGCUAACCGAUGUACGCCUAAACACUGAGUACCUGAAGCACUUAGCACACGAUUAUACCAACAAAGGGUUGUCAUCAUCAUCCAAAACACAAAGUAGGGAAAUACCCUUACACGCACAAUUACUACCGCUCGCCUCUGAUGUGUUGCAUCACAUGAACCCACGGCAGAUUUUGAUCACGGCCUUUAGGGUCUUCGCAGGUAUGUCCAUAGCCAUCAUUGCAUGUAUCAGAAAUGCGCAUAGGACUGUCGUUAUGAGUAUGAGAAGGACACUCUUCGGAAGCAGGGCCGCCCUCUAGUCCACUAGCCCCUGCAAUUGUGUGGCCAUUUGCUUGCGGAGAGUCAACGGUAAGCCCAGAUACUUGCACGAAAAGGAUGAGCUCACACAUUCGAGUGAGGAACAAACCAGCGCGACGUCCUCCCGGGAACACCUGAUUGGUACAGCCACGCUCUUCAUCAUAUUCACCGAGAGCCCUAAGAAAUGGCCGAAGGCUUGCAGGAUCAUUCCACACACGUUUACCUCUAUCUUGCUGGGCCAGAAGAAUACCAUAAUGUCAUCCGCAAACAUGGAUACCCUUUGAUGUAUACUGGAGUGAGCUAGAGGUGCAAGCAGCCCUCUUUGGGCGGCUAGAUUGAAAAGUCCUUGCAGCGGCUCCAUGCAAAGUAUAAAAUCAUCGGAGAUAGCGGGCAUCCUUGCCUCAUUCCUUGACAGUUGAGGAUAGGCCACCCAAGUAUGCAAUUUACCAUGAUUCAUGUGGAGUAAGUUGCUAAUAGACCACAUAUCCAUGCUAUCCACCUCGUACCAAAUCCCAUCCGCCUCAGCACCUCAAGCAGAAAAGGCCACUUUACCAAAUUCGAAAGCCUUUGAGAUGUCGAGCUUUAGCAUUAUCAUAGGCUCUUUAAGUGCGUGUAGCAGUCGCGACGUGUAUUGCACCAACAUGAAGUUGUUGUGUAGGGAUCAUCCACGAAUGAAGGCACUCUAGUGGUGGCCCACUAGUGUGCGUAGGUCCUCGGCCAAGCACAUUGCGAGCGCUUUGUCAAAAACCAAUAGCGAAACCUGGAUGCCCAUAUUGGUUCCUACAUAUUCUAUGAAGAUCUUUAUCGGUCGAACCUUAUGACAACAUACGUAAUUCCCUUUGUCUAUCGGUAUGCUACUAUCUCGUUACCGGCAAGUCUCUUUACUCGUUCCAUAAUACAACAUCUCGUAACUAACUCCUUAGUAACUUUGCUUGCAAGCUUCUUGUGAUGUGUAUUACCGAGAGGGCCCAAAGAUACCUCUCCGAUACUCGAAGUGACAAAUCCUAAUCUCGAUCCAUGCCAACUCAACAGACACCUUUCGAGAUACAUGUAGAGCAUCUUUAUGAUCACCCAGUUACGUUGUGACGUUUGAUAGCACACAAGGUAUUCCUCCUGUAUCCGGGAGUUGCACGAUCUCAUAGUCGAAGGAAUAUGUAUUUGACAUUAAGAAAGCAAUAGCAAUAAACUUAACCAUGUUUGAUCAACGAGCUAGUCUAGUGGAGGCUCACUAGGGACACGGUAUUUGUUUAUGGAUCCACACAUGUAUCUAAGUUUCCUAUCAAUACAAUUCUAGCAUGAAUAAUAAACCUUUAUCAUGAAUAAGGAAAUAUAAUAAUAACAACUUUAUUAUUGCCUCUAGGGCAUAUAUUUCCAUCAGGACAACCCUCUCCUUGCACAUGAUGGGCUUUUCCCCCUCAUGCAGUCCAGUGCUUACUCGUUGGGCAGCCGUGGCGAUAGUGUUACCCGACUAUGGCCCCCCUCCGGCCAGCCGAGUGAUGGGACCUGAGGGUUGGAGGGGACGUAUUUGCCUCCCCUCUGGGCGAUGGCGGUCGCGUGUUAUAGUGCUUGCGGGAAGUUCAAAUUGAGAUGCCGAGGCAGCCGCCUCGAGUGGCGGUCUACUCAAUGGGCUCUCCGGCAGUUCUCCGUAGUGAUCAUGGCGGUGCCUCUUAGUCGUGUGGACGGCAAGAGGCAUUGUGGUGGGUGCACUUGGCGCCUUGUUGUGGUAGGGGAAGGGCCCAAAGCUGGUUCUGGAGGUCCCCGUUUCCUCGCGGCGGCCGAUUGUGUGCAUGUGGCUCCUUCAUUGUAUGGGGAAGCAACCAGGUGAAAGCUCUGCACUCUGGCACGAACAAUGUUGACGCCCGGUGGUGCCGCUUUCCCCUUGAGGAUGGUGUCGUGGUUUUGCUUCCAUGUCACGGUUUUAGGUGAAAACCUUUGUCCACUUCCCCGGACGCUGCGACGACGACGCUUUGUGUCGUUUCCCUCUCGAGGGCGUGGCCAUGAAACUCAAGUGGUGUUGGUCGUGUUGUGUUGUAGUCUUUAGUUCCUCCUAUUUUCUUGCUCAGUGAUGUCGUCAUUCUGCCAAUGUAUGUUGUCUGUUUUUUCUCCUAAUUUUUGCUUCUUUGAGGGCUUCUUCAUCAUCAGGUAGUAGUCGUUCGGGCGUGUAUUUGUGCUUUAUCUAUAUAGCGGGAUGAAAAUCUUUUUCGUGUGUUCCAACAAGAAUGUAUUGUUCAACUCAUGGUCUGGUGUUGAUAUAUGAAUCAAAAGAGCCUGCACCAAGCCGAUUUUCGUUGAUCUGGUGUCACGCAAAAGGGUGUGCGAGAACAAAAUUCAGUUAACGGCAUGCUUUGGUGGGCUCCAAACUAACUAGUGCGUGCACCACCAUCCAGCAAAGCUAGACACGGCUAGACUUGACUCCAAGGCAAGCAUGAGCAGACCAGACCAGGAUGCCACUACCCCUAAACCGGCCCUGAAAAGGCCAUGGCGCCGGUUUCCGCCUUUCCGGCCACGAAUUUUUGUGCUCCGGUCGGCCUGUCGCCGCCGUGCCAACCACGGCGUUGACGCGAAACAGCAACGGUACGUAUACAACGUACGACCCUCGCUUUCACUUACCACUCUGUACUCACUCCCCUAAUCUCUACUGCCCAACUAAUGUACCGCCCCCGACUGUUCCCGAUUCAUUGACGAUCUUUAAUUAAUCAAACCCACCCCCUGUCCUCGACGGUACCGCACAACGGCACAAGAUCUGAUCUUCCGUGCCAGUGGUGCAACAUGCGAAAGCUCUGCAGUUUUAGCUUGCAAGUGAAGACCAGCUGCUGCUGCUGCAUGAGCCUUCUAGAUAACGUACUGUGCGCUGUGGAAUCGCGUGAACAACCGCGGCCAAUUAAAUCGACCGGCGGUUGCUCACGAAGCUCGCGGUUGCGAGGCAAGUUUUGCAUGGAGAGGAGGCCAUCUGUCUAUGAACUUUUGACAGAAUGUGAUCUACGUUGGCAGCCGUGUUUUACACGGCGCAUUCAGUUGAGUGGCCAACUUUUCACCGGCUACCAACCCUGGCCCUCACGGCGCCUGCUUUCCUUCACGUCAAUUCCAUGCAUGCUUUACCUUUCCUUAAUUCUUACUGUCCUUUUCCGGUACAAACAAAAACAUUUACCCACCUACCUCCGUAUGGAUUCUGAUCAAAACGAUGCCAUUCCACGCUGCAAGCGACCAAAUGACAUCCAUUUGCAUGACGAAACGAAGGAUCAGACAGAGUGAUCACUCAUCAGUCUGAGUCAGCUUCAUAUCAUAAUCAUAGUAGUAUAAGGGAAAGAGGGCCCCUCUUACUGCUGACAGUGACACUGGAGACUCGGGAACCGCGCUGCAAGCUGCCGGCCCGCGCUAGGCGCUCAAAUGGUUCCUCCUGUCCACGUGGUUUCUUGUUAAUUAUUGGUCACAAUGUUCACGCUAUAAUUCAGAUUUUUCGAGUCAACAUUAUGAGGAGCCUAACCUGAGAGUUCCUGAGCCUCUGGUCUGGGCGUCCGUACAUUACCCCGCCCACAUUCAGCGCUUUGCUAGUUUUUACUCCCUCUGUAAACUAACAUAAAAGCGUUUAUAUUAGUCUACGGAGGGAGUACUAUCCUUCAUCAAUCAAUAAUUGAUGCACGUAAGUAGUACGUGAGUGAAGAGUUUUAUUUUCGAACCGGGCUACUAGCUUCUUUUCCAUUGCAUUUUCUACGAAAACAACAGCGGCGAUUGACACAACAACAAUAUAUUCUUGGAGACAUUUCCGGCUACGUACGCAAGACGAAGUAGUAGUACAGUAGUAGUACCAUAACUUCAUUGCAACAGCCGGCAGCUCCGGUAGUUGACCUGUAUUUAUUAAAAAUAAAUCAGUACUCCCAUUUUCCCUCGAGAGCAACAGCAUAAUCUUAAUCCGGCAUUUAACCCGGCAAGGUUUGACAUAUGCUCCCAAACAAGAGGUGAACUUCUCAUCUUGCGGUUGCUGCUCGUACGUUAGCUAGGUGUAUUCACAAGCUUUAUUUGUGCCUACCUAAACGUCUAUACAAUGAACACUGUAUGAGGAAUAUUGUUCUUUGAAAUGGCGGCUCCUAUCAUCACAGGAGGAUGCAGGAAAAUGGAUGAGGAUGCAGGAGAGGCCACCGAAUACGGAGAAGGACAGUGGCGUCGACGACGUAUGAUCAGCUUACCGGAGGAGAAGUUGGCCAGAGGACAAAAAAAUCAAUGCGUCUGCUGAUAGGGGGCGAUGUCUAUCUCAAUCCCAGAGAAACAAAUGACGCCAUCAUUAAAACUCCAAUAGCUGACUCCUUCAGUACAUGAUUUAGACAUCUUCCCUCGAGCAACCGCCGAAUCCACGGUAACGAAAAAUAUUUACGUAGUUCUCAAUAAAAAUGGCAGGGGUUGUUAGGGCCUUUUUUUUCUUCAAUGCUAGCUUUGUUACUUUAUAAGCAACACUUACAUCGUUCGCGAGUUUUCCGAGUAAGCAAGUAUAUGGGGGAUGAUCGUCCAGAUACAAGAAAGAUUAUUUCGACCACUAAAGCUAGCAAGUCCAUGAGCAACGCCUUUAGUUUCUUCAGGACAAUGUUUGUAUUCAACAGUCCCAAUUAGCACCGCCGUGUCCACACAAUCCGCAUAAAUUGCCGUUUUCCGAGUCCCACCUUUGUGAUUGGCCUUUAGAGAAAGUGAUCGCUUCAUAGAGUCGGAUUCCGCCUGCAACAUAUUGAUCCCAAGGGAGUAUGCAAGGUAGACCCCAUCCUUCAUGGUUAGUGCUUCCAUAGUCGCCGCGUCUAGUGGAUAUGCAUAGAAUGUGCACUUUGCCGCAACAAAGAAUCUGUUCACAUCUCUCAAGAUCGAUGCCGGUGCUCUCCUGCGCAAAUCAACAUAGAAUGUGCAAUAUAUUUCAAUAAGAUGUUGCACCGGGAAUAUGUUGCAAUAUGUAUCAAUAUAUUUGAUUGUAUGAAACAUUUGGAUUAAUAAUAUAUAUAACUAAAAACAAAUAUAAUGUAUUGUAUUGGAUUAUUGUGAAGUUAAAAAAUAUUUAUCGAGUAUAGGUUGUAAUAUAAUAGUUUUUUUUCAUGCAUGUUGGGUGGACCUUCGAUAAGAGGACAUGUGUGCAUUUGAAAUAAAUAGAAUUGGUGGGGAUCAACUAAUAAUGAAAUAUAAUUGCCGUGCAUGUGAUGGUGGAACUUUGAUGACGUGUCAUGUGUGCAUAUUCAGAUUAUAGAAGUAGUGAGGAUGGACUAUUUCGGUAUAUAGGAUAGACAUAUGUGUUUUUUCUUUCCAUCACUAAUCCUUUCCGGGAUUCGAUACAAAAAGAAUUUAGAGCAAUCACUCCCAUCAACUCCGACUGAAGCGGGUAGAGCCAAAUAACGAUCAGAAAGUGCUUUCGUGUCAAUAUGAAAUUGUAUAUCUCAGGGGUAUUUCAACAUUACUUGUAUCCCAACUUCAUAUUCAGAAGAAAAGAAAAAAUGUAUUGUGACUGAAAAUAUACUGGACUUUUCUCUACUCGCCCAUUUGCAACAGUACGUGUGAAAUCUGAAUCCAUGGCAAAAAGAAACACCAAACUAUUCAAAGUUCUUUUUUUGGACGAACUAUUCAAAGUUGCAGCAAGUAGAGUCUCCCUCCGAAUCAACGGUCCCCUAUCUUCUCCCGUUUAACCCACACGGCGACAGUCGACGGUCGCCAGGCGCGGCCGCCGGGCGCUCCCUCCCGCCAGUCCACUUCAUUUUUACCCAUUUGGAAGCAUCUGAGAUUCCGGGGCCGAACGCGGUCCGGUCCACGUUCCACAGCCCCACCCCACCCCACACCGACCGGCCAGCCGCGCGUACGCAGGUUGCCGCCGCACCGAGCACCGCAGCGCUCGCCCCAGGCCAAACCCGUGGCACCCGCAGCUCGUUUCUGGGCCUCGGAGACGAGCGGCGAUAUCGACUUGGUAUAAAGAUAAAGCGUCCGCGAGAGGCAGCAGCAGACCCGAGCACCGCACCGCACCGCGAAGCCCAGCGAAACCGCGAGCGCGUGCAUGCGCGCCGCCGAGGAAUAGAAGGAGAUAGAGGUGGUCACCGCGGCGGGCGCGCGGGCGUACGACAAGCCGAGCCAGCCCACGGGGCGCGACGGGAAGAGAUAGCAAGCGAGCUGAGCGCGUAUCAUAAUACAAGCGGCCGCACCGCAACUACCAUUGCAGCCCCCACCGAGAGCAGAGCCCCGGGUUAUUUUUAUUCUGCUUCUUCUUCCUCUUGCACGUCUCGCGGGCGGGGGCGCGGGGAGCGGCCAUGUGGACGCCGUCGCGCGGGAGCAACGCGCGGCGGACGGGCCACCGGCGCAUCGCGGAGUGCCUGGCGGACGACCAGACCACCAACACCGACACCUCCGACAACGAGUCCUUCACCACCGCCUAUGGGGACGAGUUCUUCGCCGCGGCCGCCGGGGGGAGCGGCGGCGGGGGCAUGCUCCCGGCAUUCCUCGCCGACCAGGAGGACCUGGUGGAGGUCAUGCUGGAGCUGGACGAGGAGUCCAUGGUGGUGCGCAGCGUCACGCCCACCAGGGCCGCGCUCUACAGCGCCGCCGCGAUGCCGCACACGCCGGAGGCGCCGGGAGGAGGCGGCGGCCCCCUCAGCCGCUGCUCGUCCACGUCCUCGCGGAUACGGAAGAAGUUCGCGUGGCUGCGGUCGCCGUCCCCCGCGCCGUCGCCCUCCCCGCGCGUGCCCACGCCCGCCGAGCUGCAGCGGGAGGCGGCCAUGGCGGCCCGCGAGCGGCGCCGCAUCCAGGCGCGGGUCAACCGGUCGCGCGCCGGCGCCAAGCGCGCGCUCAAGGGCCUCCGCUUCAUCAGCCGCACCACCGGCUCCCUGGAGGCCGCGGAGCUGUGGCGCCGCGUGGAGGAGCGCUUCAAUGCCCUCGCCCACGACGGCCUCCUCUCCCGCGACAACUUCGGCGAGUGCAUCGGUACACCAUCCCGCUCCCCCACUCUGUUUCUCUCUCGGCAACAACCGCACUCUGCACUCCUCCCAUCCCAUUGCGCAACCAUUAACGGCGAUGAUGUUCUUGGCCGUGCCUGUCGAUCGAUGAUCAGGAAUGGUGGACUCGAAGGAGUUCGCGGAGGGCAUCUUCGACGCGCUGGCGCGGCGGCGGCGGCAGAGCCUGGAGCGGAUCACCAAGGAGGAGCUCUACGACUUCUGGCUCCAGAUCUCCGACCAGAGCUUCGACGCGCGGCUCCAGAUCUUCUUCGACAUGUAAGCACCACCACCGGAACCGAAUUCCCCACCCAUACUACAUUUUCCUUCACCGGAUCCCAAGCAACCGCUUUUAGCCGGCCAUUCCCGGCUUCCGAUGCAAGCUCCCGCGUCCCGGAUUCUCGAUGCUCAUUCUUCCUCUUGUUUUGCCCCAAAUUCAACUCAGGGUGGACACCAACGUGGACGGGAGGAUCACGAGGGAGGAAGUACAGGAGGUGAUCUUCGUUUCUCCAUUGCCAUAGCGUUUAAGAAGCUCCUUCUCCAAUUACAGUCACGCUUGCUGUUACUGUUACUAGUUAGUUAGUUAAUUACCGCUGCGGUAACUGUCACGGCUUUGCUGUUACUUUCACGUGCGCCGCCGCUGCUGCUGCUUCUGCUUCACUCGUCGAGUCCAAAGUAGUAAAAAAUUCUCGCUGAAGAAACUUUGAUCUUUGUUUUGUCCGAGCAGCUGAUCGUGCUGAGCGCGUCGGCGAACAAGCUGGCGAAGCUCAAGGAGCAGGCGGAGGAGUACGCGGCGCUCAUCAUGGAGGAGCUCGACCCGGAGAACCUCGGCUACAUUGAGGUGCGUACAAUACGUGUACUCGUGUGGACUUAAUUGUACACAGUACGUACGCAGCUACGUGGACGACUGGAUGACACGUGUGAUGGCUUUUUGUGCAGCUGUGGCAGCUGGAGACGCUGCUGCUCCAGCGCGACACGUACAUGAACUACAGCCGGCCGCUGAGCACGGCGAGCGGCGCGCAGUGGAGCCAGAACCUCGGCGUGGGCGCCGGCGGGGCCGUGCCGCCCGCCGCCAAGGGGGAGGAGGACGGCAGCGGCACGCAGACGUGGGGGGAAGGGAUGAGGGAGCGGCGGCGCGGGUGGGGCCGCGGCGUGGCCAGGGCGGCGUCGCACGUGCGGGUGGCGGCGGAGGAGAACUGGCGGCGCGCGUGGGUGCUGGCGCUGUGGGUCGCGGCCAUGGCGGCGCUGUUCGUGUGGAAGUUCGUGCAGUACCGGCGCACGGAUGCGUUCCAGGUGAUGGGCUACUGCCUGCCGACGGCCAAGGGCGCCGCCGAGACGCUCAAGCUCAACAUGGCGCUCGUCCUCCUCCCCGUCUGCCGCAACACGCUCACCUGGCUCCGCUCCUCCUGGGCCCGCUUCUUCGUCCCCUUCGACGACAACAUCACCUUCCACAAGGUAGUACCUUCCCUUCUUUCCAGUCGUUAUUAGUAACUGAGGUAGACUGGCGGUGGCUACCGUCACCGGGACUCUGACGCGGCGCGGUGGUGCGUCGUGUAGCCGGGGGGAGCGUGGCGCGCAAUGAUUGGCGCGUAACGUGGAACGCCGGCGCCCCUGGAUCAUGCGUGCCGCCCAUGUGGUCGCUCGAGUCCUCUUAUCACUCCACCCAGUGCUGCCAUGGCAUGGAGCUAGUGAUCCUACUGGAGUGUAGCUGACCGAAUGUGGCGAGCAACGUGCACCAGACGCGGGUCAGGUUCAGGUGGUAACAAGGAAUGCUUGUCCGUUUCAGAUGAUCGCGACGGCGAUCGUGGUGGGGAUCACGCUGCACGCGGGGAACCAUCUGGCGUGCGACUUCCCGCGGGUGAUCGCGUCGGGGCCGGAGGAGUACCGGCUGGUGGCGGGCGCGUUCGGGGCGUCCAAGCCGACGUACGGGCGGCUCAUCUCCGGGGUGGAGGGCGUGACGGGCAUCGCCAUGGUGGUGCUCAUGACCGUCUCCUUCACCCUGGCCACCCACCCGUUCCGCAAGGGCGAGAAGGAGGCCUCCGCGUCGCGGCUGCCGGCGCCCCUCCACCGCCUCGCCGGCUUCAACGCCUUCUGGUACUCCCACCACCUCCUCGGCUUCGUCUACCUCCUCCUCCUCGCCCACGGCUACUUCCUCUUCCUCGUCCGCCGCUGGUACGAGAAAACGGUACGCGCCCACCCGCCCACGUUUUUUGUUUUUCAUUCGUUCGAGCACACGUAUCUCUCGCGAGGCCGACGGUGCUCUGGUCCGCGCUCGGUCGCUUUAUUCGCGGACGCCGUUGUGGAGCGGUUUGGUUCUGUUCUCUUCGGCCUAGUAUAGUGGUGGUGCUUUACGUUGCCAUCUUCGCUUUACAUUUCUGAUGAUGAGGAGGAAACGUGUUGCCGUCUUCUAGAAAACGGAUCGAUCCAUCAUGUCACGCUCUCUCCCCGCGCCCAUCAGGCCCGGAACGGCCCUUGCCGACUUGCCGUUACCCGUGACAGGAACCGGGCGCCAAGAAAAGAAAUAAGAAUGUUUUUUUUUUGCGGGUAAGAAAUAAGAAUGUUGAGAGGAGGAUCGUGCCUCUUCCUCGAAAAAGUCCGGCCAUGUGAUGUGACCCCGACAGUAAAUAGAAGGCGAAGCCGAGAUAUUUUUAUAUAAGAAAUUUUAAGGAGAAUACUAUACACUCGUUAGUCUGAAAACAUGGUAGUAGUAGCUGCCUGCAUGUGCUAGACGAUUUAAGUAUUGAUGUCGGUGGCGACGGGGUCAAACCGGAGGUGAGCCGUGCAAUGCAUGACAGCCCAGCUAUUCCGUGCUCCGCCCUGUACUCCUACGGGGUAUGGGGUCGGCAUGGUGGUCAGUCUGUCCGGUUAGGAUCAUAAAUGUGGGCCGCGUUCGACGACUUGGCGCGAGGUAGGCAGAGGUAUCACCCGCACUAGGCGUGUGGUAGCUGCUGACGCGCGACGCCACGGCCCACUGAUGUGUGUCGGUAGGAGUCUGAGGCUCUCGAUCCACGACGAACGGAUCCCACUGUGCUGCUGACUGCCGAGCCAUUCCGGUCUGCGCCCGUCUCCUUGUUCCACUCACCACUAGGUCGUGUUGCCAGCUCCGCAAUGUUGACGUCGCCGGAGCACCGUCUGGACGCUUGCCAUCUCAUCGUGGAGACUGAACCCUUGCCAUUUGCGCGCAUGUGUGCCACCAUGAUAAACAUGGUUAGGAAACGCAGAUAAGAUAAGAGUCUCGGUGAUCAUGGUCCUAUGUUUGCUUGCUGGUGGAUCUAGCCACGAUGACUUUACAGCAGGCAGGGCGUUUCGUUUUGUAUUGGGUGCUGAAAUGGGUGACCAUCGCUAACGCUAAUCAUCAAGAUAGAUAGAGUAGGAGUGUAGAUUAGAUUAGAUCUGUCUAUUAAUGCCAUGAAUAGCCGUAAGCUGCUUUACAGAAGGCAGCACUGUUGUCAGUACUGGAGUGGAGUGGUAGCACUCUCCACGAAAUAAAUCUCCCAUCCAUAAUCCGUUCAUUCAUCACCGAAUAACAUGGGCUGAUCCAUCACCAAUAAAUGGACAACCAGGCGUCAUCCUAAAGCCCAACGACUUUACUGCCCCACCCUGCACGAGCGAGUGAGGGAGAGGCGGUCACAAACUCCUCACAACCAUCUUAGUAAUUACCACCGCCCCACAUAAUGAUCCAGCACCCCAAAUCUGCAAGGAGUGAUCCAUCGAUGAUCAACUCUGCCUAAGGCCUCUUUUGGUUCAUAGGAUAGGAUUAUCGUAGGAAUAGGAAUUUUGUAGGAAAUGAGAUGGCAUGUAUGUCAAAUCCUAUGAGUAGGAAUAGGAAAGGAGAUGUCAUUUGGUUGACAUCAAAGGAAUUUUUCCAUUGAGUCUAGGUUCUUUUUUAUUUUCCUAUGAAAUGUGGAGGAUAGGAACCAAUCCUGUGUAGAAAUAGGAAUCUAUUCCUAUGAACCAAAGGGCUCUAAAGGAAAAAUUCCUAUCCUAUGAAAUUCCUGCAAACCAAAGGAUUAGCCUUUAAGCUUACGAUGAUGAACUCUGCCUUGGUCUUGGCUCCAAGCACUGACAAGGAGUAGUAUGGCACUGCUGCUUUUCCUUAUUUUCUUCCUUUCCGGGUUCCUCCAUAUAUAUCUGGAGUGCCACAUUGUCAAAGGAGCCACUGGCUUUGACCCCAGGUCACAUGGCGUUCGAAGAUAGUAUAUUCCGGCCCACCUACUGCCCCCGGCCGUGAGCCCGCGACGACGCGACGAACGGCACCGACCGGCAGCUUUCCUCCCCCCACAUUUGCCACGAACUCCUCACUCCCGUCCAUGGACAUGUGGACGCUGCCGCCUCGGACCUUUCCCCCGUUACGCACGCCACUAAUUUUGGCUUGCUCGGUGCCCAUUACCAUCUCACCCAACUCUGAAUUAUGGUAGCCAGGAUAAGAUUAAGUGCUUUUUUCCCUGGUGGCUUCGCUUUGUAAAUGGGUGUGCUUGUACUACGUGACCAGUGACCCCCACUCGAGAACAAUGUUAAGGUGACAAUGGCCUCAUUGUACGUACUCACAUGCUGUGCGGUUGCGGCAGCGUCUCAAAAUUAAAAUUAUUGCCGUGCCUCCGGGGCCAAGGGUAGGGGCUGAGUUCCUUCAAAAAAAAAAAGGGGGUAGGGGCUGAGUUGUAAAGGUAGAGGCAGGGGACGGAUGGUCAUGGGGUGGGGUGGGGGUGGCAUCUCUCUAGGGAUCGGAUCCGAUUAAAGAGGCUGUCUAGCAGCUAGUGAAAGGCAAAAGAGGAAGGAAGAGAGAGAGGGGCCUCGAAUCGCGUGAUGGUGAAACUUCCCGUGCAAUCCAUCAUCCAUGGGAGGGAGUGUGCGCUUUGGGGUUUCACCGCUUUUCCUUUUUUUUUCUUCCCUUUCCGCCGGGCAUUUCUGUAGUGGGAUCCAUGCGCUGCUGCCCGCUGCGUUCUCUGAUGCGCUUUGCGAUCUCCAAAUGCUUUUGCUUCUCUGAAAUUUUCUCUGCUGGAUAGAGAUAGAGAUUCAGUGGCAAGUUAAACCAUUUUGAGACGCAUCAUGGGGGUAGGAUCUUAAUGCAUUUUACUGCGGGCAGGUAAGCGCCAUUUGCACACUAAUACUAAGAAGGUUCGGGUGUCAGAGAGGAAUCCCAUGUUCAGCACGUUCUUGGUGGUUGUGCUCGCAACAGUACAAGCCUACUUAACAUGCUUGCUAAGCUCAACUCUACCAAUAUUAUAUCCACCCCGGGGGUUUUUAAACUCGGCCUGUCGCGCCGUUCUAGAAGCACCAAGUAAUCUGACAGCUGCCAACUCGAGUGGCUUCAUUUUUCUUCUAGAUAAUGUCUUGGGGCACAUAUUGUCUACGAAGUCUCGUUUGGAGCAUUAGUGCAUUACCAUGUGCAAAUUUCUACUCGGAACAGUAUCAUGUGGAAACAGCGGUGUUUGUAGUCCGCCAUGACUUCUGCACUACGCUCAAUCAUUGCAAACGGCUGGCCCUUGUUUGGAGCAUUCGGUGCUGCGUUGAUGAUCACCGCAGCAGCCCGCUGACAUGGUGUGAUUGAUUUCUUCUCUUGGUGUUUUUUCAGACAUGGAUGUACAUUUCGGUCCCUCUGGUGCUCUAUGUCGGCGAGAGGAUGCUGCGAGCCUUGCGGUCCAAUGCUCAUACUGUCAAAAUCAUCAAGGUAAGUUGGUAACAGAAUCAGGGUAAAAAAAGUAGGUAACAGAACUAGAUUCCUGAUGAUUAUAAGUGGGUGGAUUUCUUAGAUGCAAGUAUCCAGCACUAGCUUCCAUCGAUAAAAAAAACGAUCGAAAGAAGAUGCACCACUAAUAUGAUAAUUGUGUGCUGCUACUAAACUUUUGCACAAAUGAGCCUGGUCUUCAGGCACCAAGUGCCUUCAUACACACAGCACUAGUAUUAAUGGAUUGGUUGGUGUGUGAUAAGACUAAAACAGUUCCAUCAACAUCUGGAGGCAAUUUCUAAAAAUGGUCAAUGCUGUGUUGGUCUUGUGGGAUACAAAUGAUAUUGCCACUAUAAAACAUCCGCAGUGGAAUAUAGUCUCUACUCGCGCAUUUCUGUCCUUUUCAAAUUGGCUGUCCCUUUAUAUCAGCCUCCUUAUACAAAAGUUCCACGAUUUCAGGUUGAUUAUUCAUUGUUUAUUCUUCACUGAGGGCUCCUCUGCCUGUUGUAGUAUCAAUUUUUUUUUGUCUCUGAAUCAAUAGGUUCAAUCAUUAGGAUUGGCAUGAAUAAGAACACAGUGGUUUUUUAUUACUCCCUCCUUCCAUCUAUAUAGGGCCUAAUGUGUUUUUCAAGACCGCCUUUGACUAUUGAUAAAAUUAAUACUACAUGACAUGCAUAAUGUGAAAAUUAUAUUAUUGAAAGCUCCUUUCACAUACGAAUUUGAUGAUGUGCUUUGUGUAAGUUGCAUGUCAUAUAUUAUUGCUCUAACAUUUGGUCAAAGUUAGCCUCGAAAAACGCAUUAGGCCCUAUAUAGAUGGAAGGAGGGACUAUAUUAGUCAACCUGUUUAAUGAGUUUGAGAUUUUUUUACUAUAUCAUUUUAGGGGGUUAAAUGUUAUUCUGAAAUUUAUAUAGGAAAUAAUGUACACGCAAUAUUCAUCCAUUUACCAGAAUAUGUUCACAUGCAUGGAACUAGGUAACCAAGUGCAUGUUCUUAUAGAAACUUGAUUCACUCAGGUGAUGCUUCUACCUGGAAGUGUACUGACAAUACAAAUGUCAAAGCCCUACGGAUUUCGAUAUAGGAGUGGACAGUAUAUCUUUCUUCAGUGUCCGACGAUCUCUCCAUUUGAAUGGUGUGUACAGCCUUCUUGCUUCUCUACUUGGCCUAGUCUUUAGCACGGCAAUUCACCUUGCUUCUGCUCUAUUUUUCUUCUUCAGGCAUCCUUUCUCCAUCACCUCAGCUCCUGGAGAUGACUACCUCGCUGUUCACAUUCGCACAAAUGGAGACUGGACGCAAGAGCUCAAGCGCAUAUUUGCCGAGAACCACUACUCGCUGCACAUGAACAGAAGAACUUCAUUCAGCGAGUUAGGCGCGGCAGAACCUAGAACCACUGUCCCACCAAAAUUGCUUGUAGAUGGUCCAUAUGGUGCCCCUGCACAGGAUUUCAGAAACUACGAUGUUCUGCUUCUAGUUGGCCUUGGAAUUGGAGCAACACCGUUCAUAAGCAUUCUAAAGGACCUACUUAACAAUAUUAAGCUUGCUGAUGAGCUGAUGGUAUUUGCUUCAACCUAUUUUGUUUGCAUUUUGACAGUUUCCUGAGAUAGCUUACAUGAUUUUCGGUAACUAUCAGGACUUGGCAAUGGAGACUACUCAAACUAGUAGGUCUGAGGACAGUGCCAACAGCUUCAGUGUCUCAACAGCUAGCAGCAACAGGAAGAGAUCAUAUAGAACAAGCCGCGCACAUUUUUACUGGGUUACUCGCGAGCCCAUGUCGUUUGAAUGGUUCAAAGGAGUGAUGAAUGAGGUUGCCGAAAUGGACAAGAAGGUAGGAGUGCAUGCCUUCCUUUUACAGAUAACCCAGCAAUGUUUUUUACUUCACUGAUGAAUGAACUACUCGUCAUGCAAUCUUAACCAGGGUGUCAUAGAGUUGCACAAUUAUCUUACGAGCGUGUAUGAGGAGCGUGAUGCACGAACAACUCUGCUGUCGAUGGUCCAAGCUCUGAACCAUGCUAAACAUGGUCUCGACAUCGUCUCGGGCACCAGGGUAAACUUUCUUUCUUUCAGUUAUUAAUGGAUCACAAUAUUCACCAUAUAAGCACGUCUUCAAGUAUCCACAAACUAUCUGAUGAUUAGUUUGUGUUUUCAUGUCUGCCUCCCUGCAACUGAAACAUUUGCUGUGCACUUGACAGGUGAGGACACACUUUGCCAGGCCAAACUGGAGGGAAGUCUUCACCAAAAUCGCCGCCAAGCAGCCGAAUUCAACAGUUGGUAUGAUCUCUCGCUCAGACAUUCUAUCCACUAGCAUCAGUUGAUAUCAGCAACAACAUUACAUUCCUAAAAUCAAGUUUUUUCGAUAAAAUCAACUCCACACAUUCACUUGCUCACCAAGGAUCAUUCUGGUUCGUGCAGGAGUGUUCUACUGCGGCGCGCCGACGCUGGCCAAAGAACUGAAGAAACUGUCUCACGAGAUGAGCCACAAGACGUCGACGCGCUUCCAUUUCCACAAGGAGUACUUCUGAUGGGAAGAAGCAUUGAUUCUUCUGAUCUGCAAAAUAGCGUUAGGCACCGGUAAAGAAGGAGGAAAUUUUUUGCACAGAAGCAAAGCAAACUGACCUCUCUCUCUUCCUGAUCUGGAACUGUACAUAGUAUAAAGAAGAACGGCCUGUUAGGGGAGGGUAGUUAGUGCCAUUUAUAAUAUAUAUUAUUAACAAAAAAGAAAGUAAAGGGAGGCUGAUGUAUCCAAAAGGAGAAGGAAAGAGGCAGGGUAAAGAGUUGGGUUAAAUUUCAGAUAUACUAAUAUACAUGUACACAGUAUAGUUGUAGGUAGUUACGUAUGAAAUGCUAGCUAAAGCAUAUGUACAAGGGCCGGAGGCUGCCAUUCUGAAUGUAAAUCUUCCGGGCAUUCAUUCAUGUGUGCAUCUGUGCCUAUCGGCUGCUGGUAAUAAACUCAGGUGUAUUGACACUUUCUUCCUUGGGAAUGCGAUCUUCUAUGGAGUACCGGAAAUGGGAAGAAAGAUGGGAAGUGUUAACCGGGAACGUUCCCCGGGGAGGUCUCGGGGGACACCCACACAGUUAUUGGAUCCAGAUCACGCGGAUGGCAACAACAACAAAAUCGCUAGCAUUUUCUUGCAUUACAUGGCAGUUUUCUCUUUUGAUCAUGGCAAGUCACGUAAAGUUGUAAAGUUGCCAUGGCAACUUUAGUUAAAACUGCACGACAAUUUGAGAGUUUGUAGGGAAAAAACGCUCCCGCCAGAUAUUGGUGUCUAGACUAGAAAGAUAGAGCAGAAAAGUGGGAGCGAGCAAUAUGGAACAACUGGCCGAGUGAGUCAGUGAUCUUCUUUACGCCACGCGAGCCCGUGCCUGAAGGCCAACGGUCUCACGGUGGUGGCCUUGUCGGGUUUCCAUUUAAAUUACCUUUUUAUACUCAAACUUCAAAUAAAUAAUAUACUUUAUAAUAAUUUUACAAAUCAGUUUUAAAAAAGAGGGAAAAUAUGAGUUGUGAAUGAGCAAAUGCUGAAGUGUAACAAAAAUAAUUAUGCUGAAAAAGAAAUGUUCAUGCACUAGGAAAAAUAUGUUCCUAUGCGUUAAAAACUGUUCAUAUAAAUAAAAAUAACAUGUUCAUGGUAUGGGAUUGUGUUAUAAAGUAAAGUUCAUGUGAAUGAAAAAAAUCUUCAUGCAUAUAAAAAAUGUUCUUGUAUUUCUUAAAAAUUCAGGUGGCAUAAAAUAAAAAGAAUUAUAAUGAAACACAAGGAAAAUAAACAAAAAAGAAUAAAAGUGGAAAGGCCAAAAAUAGAAAAUUAAACAACAACAACAACAACAACAACAACAACAACAACAACAACAAUAACAACAACAAAAAACUGCAGUUGAGGCACCCUUAUUGGGCAUUGUUGUAGGCAACGCUGCCUUAACGACUACUGCGGUCAGCGUAUAGAAUUGCUAUGUCACAAAAUGACUGAACAUAUGCGAAAACAUGGCAUUUUGCUUAUUGAGAGCACAAAGGAGGGCAAAUAACGGGAGCGAGAGCUACUUCUUGCCCGUACCGAGCCCUAAUUCGCUCUUGUCUCUGGUUCGGCACUACUAGGCCGACCUAGUACUGUACCUUACGCGCGAGUUUUUUCUCCGUGGUUUGCUUAUCCGGAUUUCACUGUCCGCAAUGGUGUUUUCUGGUUUUCUUCAGUUUCUUUUUUCUUAAAUUUUUAUUUAUUUAUUGGUUACCUUUUGUUUUUUACUCUUUUCUCGUCCUUUUUAACAUAUUAUACAUUUUUCAUACACAUUGCAUAUUUUUUAUAUGCCUCGGGAAUAUUAUUUUUAUAUACAUUUAAAAAUUUAAAUACAUGAUUAACUUUUAAAAUAUAUAUAUGUGUUGAUGUCUACUUUUUCAUACACAUUUUACAUUUUUCCUAUACAUCAGUAACAAUUUUUAUACAUUUUUAUCAUAUUUUAAAUACAUGAUUAUUGUUUUUUCUUCAAAUAUAUAUCUUGAUGUCUAUUUUUUCGUACACAUUGUAAUUUUUUUGUAUACAUCAGAAACAUUUUUAUACAUGUUUAAUAUUUUUAAAAUACAUGAUUAAUAUUUUUCAAAUAUGUAUUUUGAUGUCUACAUUUUUCAUGCAUGUUUUACAUUUUCCACAUACAUCAGUAACAUUGUUUAAUACAUGUUUAAUAUAUAUUCUAAACACGAUUAACAUUUUCUGUAAUGUCACAUACUUUUCUUGAAAUGCGUGAACAUUGUUUUAACGUUACAAUCUUUUUUAACGCUAUCUACAUUUUUUUCAACGCUAAAAAAGUUCUACACUGCGUUAAAAUUUGAAAAUUCAUUUUUAACAAUUUUAACAAGUUAAGCUUUGGAAUAUUUUUGAAAAUUUAAAUAUUUGGGCGUGACAAUGAGCACAUCUAUUUUUUCAAUUUUUUUAACAUUUGCAAAAUAUAUUUUUAGCGAGCAGGAGCGUAUGCUCCCUGGAGCCAUGUGUGCAUGUGAUCUUGCCUCGUUUGGAACCAUGAGUUGCCGUGAGGAUGGGAAUUUCCUUAACCAUGCUAAAAACAUUAAUGUUUUAUUUGUAGCGAAAUCUAAUUUUAUUAGCCUAUCUAAUUUUGUAUUUGAUGAUAUCAAGACACGUCCAACGUGGCCGCUUGGAGAGAUGCGCCACGAUUGAUUUCCUGGUCGAUCAACACGUGGGUGGUGCGCUAGAUGAGUCAUCGGCGAAAAAAGAAAGAACCGGGUGCUUGAGCCUAUUUUACAGUGUGGGACAAAAUGAUCAGUGCAGAGGCCAAUUUUUAGCGCAUGUUUGUUACAGUAGCGUGUAGCAUUGGAACAUAUAGCCAUCAAGUGGUCUUUCAAUUUUAUGAUAUAUUUUUAUUUCCCUUAGCGCCUCUUUAAGCGUUUUGCAUUGAAGAUGACCUUAGUAUUGUAUAUGCAGUAGGGGAGCACAAAAAAGCAGUGGUGGAUCUAGGGUUCAAGCUCGGGGCAUGAGGCCAGAUCCUUUAUAUCAUGUAGCAAUUGCUACAGUACAUGAAGGCGGCCCGGGGCGGCCUGCUGGGCUGGAUCCGCCCCUGCAAAGAAGAGACGGGGUGGCAUGAAUUUCAUGUGCGUUGAUUUUUAUUUGCCUUGUGCCAUUAUGUAUGAUGUGAAUCUCAAAGAUGCUUGCAGCUUCACUGGAGUACCAAAGGGGAUGGGAUUGAAUAAUCAUUAAGUGGAAAUUAACCCACCUACCAAAGUAUAUGUCCAAGCAUAUUCCCAUGGUAUAUUUACUCAUAGUGCAGAUAUAUUCCAGGCAACAAAAGAAAUGCAGAUCUACAAAAAGUUAAACAUAAACAUCUCAUUCAUAAUCCAGACAAGGAUUUAAGUCUGUAUAAUCACCAAAUAAUGAUUCAAUGCUACUAUUGAUUACUUUGUUAUUUAGACAGUGGUAUUGAUUGGAAAGCAACACAUGGUGUUGUUUUCUCCACCACCACCAAAAGGUCCCAAACCAAGAGUUUUAUGUGGCUUCAGAAGUAGUGACAAACUGGCAUGACAUCGAACAAAAUAAUAUUAGUACAACAAUGAAUUAGAAAAAAAAACAAGGAGUACUGCUUGCCACUACAUGAUAUUGAAAGAUGGUUCACUGUAUUCAAUUGGGAAAAGCAGUGAAUCAUUUAGCGGCAACUUUAUCACUCGAGCAAUUAAUAAGACGGUUUUGUCUUCACAUCACUAUGAUUACAUAGCGUUGUCUGCAACAUCAUCACUAUGAUUACAUAGCGUUGUCUGCAACAUCAUGUAUGGAAAACAAAAGUCCUUGCCUAAGAAAAUUGUUGUGUAUUAAUAGUAUAGUACUAUUACAAAUACCAGGCUCUAAGGGCAACUCCAAUGCAGAUCACCAAGUCGUUCCUGAAUGUCUGGACCAGAUGGUUCAUGCAUUUUUGACCAUCCAAUGGAAGUCACUAAAUGUCCGCGGCUCAAUCCAAACAACCCAAAUCCCUCAAACUGGAACCAAAAAUUGGGGAAGAGUUGGACAAGUCCAGACAUUCGGCUGGCCCUCUUAUUACUUGGUCUUUUUCUCUUGGUCCGCCUCACCGCUGUAAGUCACUAGCCCACUGUCCAGAUUUGAUGACUACGGUUGGAUGGCCGGUUUCCCUACCGUUGUCCAUGGACACAUCCGAACAUUUUCUCGGACAUUUGGUGUUGUCAAUUUGGUGACAGUGUUGGAAUUGCCCUAAUGUGGGAACUAGAAACACAAAAUUUGAGCGUUCAGUUGUGCACGCAUCUCAUAUUGAAUGAAGAAAAAACUGGAAAUUUUCAAGUUUGUGUAGAAAAAAACAUGGACAUUGGGCAUGAUAUCCAAUAUUCCAAUAUGUAAUUAAACAUGCAAAAUUCCAUCAAAAAUAUGAUAAUUUAUGCACCACAUAAAGUAUGCAAGAACCAAGAGAUAUUCCUUGAUUAAAAAAUUUGCAAGUUCACAUCGGCAACAUUCUUGAUUUUUUCUUGCAAUUUUGAGAAAGAUAUCUCAUCCAAGGGAGGAUUGAAUCUAAAUUUUCAUUUGUCCUGAGAGCUGAAACGAAUGCUGAUCAUUCUUCAGCCUCGUCCCUCUUCUUUUUUUCAACAUGUCAACGGGGAGGGGGGGGGGAGGGUCUCUAUUCAAAGAAAAAUGAGCCGGUUUAUGAGAAAAACCAGGUCGAAAACCGUGAUCCGGUUUAUAAGGAAGACCAAAUCAAAAACCUUCAUCUAGUCUAUAUGAAAAACCGGACUCGAAUACCAUACAACCAUACGCGCAAAGAACACCCCUUGCAUAUUUACAACACAUCACAAAGAGCCAUCUACACCCCACAGGUUAUGCCGAACCAUCUACAAGACCGCAGUAGCAUGACAAUGAUAGCAGUUUCAAUAAAUCUAACCACAUUAUAAUCUUCGAUGAUACACAUACAAAUGACAUGCCUAAAUUGAAGGACAAAAUUGUCAUACCCCCUAAUAAAAAUUCAAUAAACCUAACCACGUUAUAGACACAUUAGGAUCUCGUCCUCUGUAGUGACAAGUGCAGCUCCAAUCCUGCCCUCCCCCGUCGCCCCCUCCAUGACGCAACUGCUGACAGCCUUACAACGGUGCCAUUGAGCACUGCGAUGUCAUGGUGGCGAUACCAACCCAAAUCUUCCCAACCAAAGAGCUUCAAAGAUUUUUUUUUUUAGAAAAAUCUUAUUCUCUAGAGUUCAUACAAAAUUACUGUAAACCAAAGGAGGCCUUAUGCUCUGAAAUGCGGUUACAUUGGACAUCCCUAUGAAAUCAUGCAUUCAGCGACUUUGGCAUUGGACAACCGAAAAACGGAUACUAUCAGAUCCGCCGAACUGUUUCCUGGCACUCCGCUGCAGUGCGGAAGGCGCGACAUAUAUUGAGACAAUGAAUCUUGAAAAAACAGACCCCAAAAAAAAAACUCGUAAGGUUCCGAGGCUCUGAGCGAAACGAAAAAAACUGCUGUCCUGAAAGGCGAUUGACGUAGCAAAAGAGUGGAUGUAUGCUGCCCUUGAGAGGGCCGGAGAAAAAUCGCUGCGAAAUAAGACCACACGUUAGCUCCCGGCCAAGCAGCUCCACCGGCAACGAGACGGCACAGAAGCAUACGGCCAACGCAUCAGCAACGAGCAACGCAACGAGACCGCACGGCCACAGCCCACAGGACACCGACGCCCCUCCAGAAUCCGGACGUACGCAACGCCGCCACAGUCCACACCGGCCGCUGCCGCACGCACGCACAGCUUCCUCAACUUGACGUCGUCCACCAGUGCCUGAGAACCGAAAGCUACGCUGCGAUAAAACUCCGCCACUCCUUCGCCGCUGCGCAGCCGGUUGCUUGGGAUGCGGACACAAGCGGCAUUGAUGCCUUUGAUGGGCUUGACGGGUGCGUGUGAUCUUGCCUUGUUUGGAGCCAUUCCGGGGCAUGGUUAGGUUCACCUGACGUCCAGGGAGAACGUAUCCUAUGCAACGCUCAACUCAUGCACCAGUUGCGCCAAUGGCCCAUGAGCCGUCGGAUUAAAAUGAAGGGACAAGACCUAUCUACUAUGUGGGCUGCUGGAACAUUGCAGAAAGGGCCUUGUAGUGUCUCUAAAUGAUUCCGACUUCCAAGUAAUCUGGACCGAUAGUAUCUUGUUUUCUUCUCGCCCUCUUGUGUACUGCUGGAACUUUGGGUUAGAAAAUUUUACCCAAACCUAGUCGUAUUCUCUUUCUCUCUGGAUUGUACUGAUAAUCUCUGCCUAUUGGAUCUCGAUUAGCUGUCGUACCAUCUGAAUCGGCCAUGCACACUCGAGUUCUUUUUACAGUCGGCCGGCGGCGGCUCAUUGAGAGUGUUUCAGUGUGGUCCAUAUGCAGGAGCUCUAAGAAUCGAGGCGUGUUCUCUUCUUCGUUUAUCAAUGUUAUGGACAUAUUUUCUUUCAUACUUCUGUCAUCCUUUGUUUUCCGUUUUGUUUUACUGAUAGAUAAGUAUGACCAAUGCUCCUCCAAAUUUAACGAUGUGCACAGUUAAGGCUUAUGGUCCAGCGCUCUCUCUAUCGAUGUGUAGUCUGGAUAUUGUAACAUAUUUUUGCAGCUCUUGCAUCCCAACCUUAAAAGCAGAAUGUAACUUGUAUCCCCCAUAAAAACAGUUCGAAUAGAAAUAAACAAAGGGAUCUGCUCUCUGAUCCUUGAUUUGUAAACAAAUGUAAAUAGAAAGUGUCAAACUGAACUUUGUGAAAUCCAAACUAGUUGUACAUUGUAGCGAUCCUCUAAAUUAAUACCCUUGUUGGGUCCUGGGUGCUGCUUGUUCUUAGCUUAGUCAUUUUGGUGCCUCCAGCUCAAGAAAACUCAUCAUGAGGACAUGAUGUUUGAACAACAGUGCUUAAUUAUGUCCCUGGCAGCUGUAUUAAAUCCGUAGAGAUGUACUCGUUGUAUAUGUGAAAUUUCAUAGGACCAACACUCUAUUUGAUUUUAUGCUUCUUCACCUGAACCACACAAUUUUGUUAGGUACAUAACAUUUUCAAGUUACUGAAGAGGAAUUUGAGGUUAGGAUUCUUUCCUUUGUGGUUUGAUUUCCUGUAACAUAUAUAUCAGCUUACAAAGAAUUAACAGAAAAGGAACAAUAAAAGCUUUAACCUGUUCCCGCAAGUGAGAACAGAUUCUUCUAAUCGACACUCAAACAUGAUUUUAGUAGUAAGAACCAUGAUCUGGUACAGAAAUCCGGACCAAAUAGUACUGAAUUUUCGGCACUAUAAAGAUAAAUGUUAUCCAAUCAGAUCACUUUUGUUUUAUCCUUUUCUUUUGAAUGUACAUCAGAAAAUAGGUGUUGUUUGUGUUUUUCAGGUCCUCUCCAAAUGUUCACUUGCAAGCUCAUCUUUAAACAAAAAUUGUUUGCUCUUCAAGGUAAUGUUCGACUUGCAUCCAUUUUCUCCUUUUUAGCAUUUUAAGAUAUCUAUUUCAACUUACUAGGAGUUGCAUGGUGAUCAAUCUAUCUGCGAAUGCUUCUGUAAAAAAGAUGUAGUGUAUGUGUAGAUAAACAGUUGCAGAUACAAAUGACGAUGUUAAACUAGAGAGCAAGAGCACAUUAGAUCUUUGUUUUAGGAGAUGAUAAUUAUGUAAUGUAAAACUAGGUUCUCCUUGUGAUUUUAUUACCUUGUACAUAAUUUCUUACUCCAUUUGUGUAUACGAGUAUAAUGUACAAAGAUAUAGAUAUACACGCAGCACAACGAGCAACCUUUGGACGAUUCCGGCUGUGGCAGCCGCUUGCAUGUGUUGUUGCUUCAAUGCCAAUGAACGGUCACCCAGGAGAGAAAAGGAGAGAGACAAAGAGAAAAAGUGUGAUAGGAAGGUAUGUGUCGACUAGUACAGGAGAGCUCGAGAGGGAGACUGAGAUGAGAACAUAUCUAGUGGAAACCAUACAUUCAGAGGAAACAUGGAAACCCAAACUUGUGCCGUUGGAUUGGAUGCGUACGCUGUGAGAUGGAAAGAGGUACAAUUUGCAAAUUGAACCCCAAAAGAAUCCUGUAACUUAGGUACAGAAACAUCCCAUGGCGGCUGAGCCGUCCCGUGCCUUUCCCCAUGGAGGUAUCAUCCCGAUUCGAAAGGAAAAAUCAUCCAGAUUCGAAAUUCUUUCGCUAGGGUUAGGAGACCUGUUGGGAGAUGAUGCUUCCCUCUGGCAGGAUCCCCUCGUUCCGUGCUGGGCUGGCGAGCGGCGAGCGGCGCGGUUAAUUCCUCUCCGGCGGUUGUGUCCGGCCAAGCGUGCGAGUCUCCGAGCGUUUCGGGCAGGGCCGGCGAGUGGCGUUCCGGGCAGGGCCAGCGAGCGGCGCUUCUGAUUCGUCUCCGGCCAACAGUGCCAGUCCUCCGAGCAUUCCCCAUCGAUGUCAUACUAGAUCUAAUCCCAAGGUAUGAGCAUCUGUAGUGUUCGUCUUCUGUGCUUUGGCCCGGUGCUCCGAGCAUUCCCCAUCGAUGUCAUACUGUCCAGAUUUUGGUCUUGUAGAAAUUGCGAGGUAUAAUUCAUUUGCUCAUAAUUAUUGUGUGGUACUGUUAUAGUACACAUCUAUGACUAUUCAUGUGUUGUUGGCUUGCUGCCUGGCGUGUGUGCUCUGUGUAACCAUGGCAUGCUCUACUGUCUAUGAAAAUUGUUAUUUAUCUAUAAACUGCUACCCCUACUGUCUAGAUGGAAUUUAGAUGAUGAUACGUAUCUGAAUUGAAAAUUGUGUCUAGAUGGAAGUUAUCAAAGAGAAAACUCGCGCUGUGUGUAGGGCUUGUAUGCGCUGCUGCAAAUUUUGUAGAUUAAUUAUUGUGUGUGGUGCUAGUAGUGUGAGUGACAGUGAGAGAAAAAUCCUUGAUUAAUGUAUGUGUUUGCCAUUGCUACUAGAUUAAUUAUUGGAGGACCAUAUUUUAAAUAAUUUAAAGUUCUUAAAAAACUCGAAAACAAUUAUACGUGAUCAUAUGGAUGUAUAUUGCAGUUGUGUAAAGUUUGGUGACGAAAUAAAUAAACAUGUGAGCUAUAGAAAAAUGACAAAAUGAUGAUUUUCAAAUAGUGAAUAAUGCACGCUCAGUUCAUCUUUCCAAAAAAAAAACGAUUUUGUCAUUUUUGUGUAACUCACAUGGUUACUUAUUUUAGUAUCAAAAUUUACACAUGUGUAAUAUACAUCCAUAUAACCAUGUUGACUUGUUUUCAGAACAUUUUGAAACUUCAAAAUAGAAUUUUGACACUAUUCCAAAUAUCGGGCUUCAAUGCACCCGUCCUCCAAAUUGACUUUUUGUUGUAUGCAUAAUUAUUUGUGUAGUAUGACGGGAAAUAAGAAAUGAGCUGGUUUGGAAAAUAAUUCUGUUCUUUUUUUGCUAAUAAAGAUGACAUGCACUACUGUAUCUAUUUGCAUAGAUUGUUGUUAAACUCGUUUUAAUGUAUUAUGUAUAAAAAAAGUUCAACUCUUAUUUUUCAGGUUUUCUGGUGGCAGUAAAGAUAUAUGCAGAUUUCAACAACAAAAAAGACUGUUGUUUGGAGUCGUAGUAGUGCACUGAUACGUCCUUCUGCGUGUGUACUCGAGUUGUGUGCUCAAUGUUUGAUGUAUAAGUGUGAGAUUUACUAUGGCUGUUCAGUUAGUGAUGUGUCUAUCUUGUAACAAAAUUCCCUAGCAUAAUGCGGUUGGAACAUUUGCCUUAACUAAUGUAUGUGUUGUUGAAGCGAUGCAUGCAUUACUGCAAGUGAAUUCUGAUACUAGUAGACUAUAUUAAAAUUAGCUUCCUUCAG